UGUGUGCUCUACCCUUCGGCGGAGUCCUUGGAGGAUUAGUCCAUUUGCCCUUUCGCAUGCGCCGUUGCUCUUGGGGUAAGCUACGGAUGCGAAGUGCAGCUUGAUCUCAAGGCAUUCGCAGAAUUUGAUGAAUUCCGCACAGUCGAACUGUUUGCCGUUGUCCACGGUUAGCUCUCGCGGGACACCAUAUCGGCAUAUGAUGUUUUCCCAGAAAAAGUUUUGAAUGGCUUGUGCCGUGAUCUUGCCAAGCGACGCUGCUUCUAUCCCUUUGGAGAAGUAAUCAAUCGUCACCAUGAGAUACUUGCGGCCCCCGUUGCAUGCGGAGAAAGGCCCGAGGAGGUCCAUUCCCCAGCGUGCAAAUGGCCAUGUUAUCGGGAUUUCUUCAGGGAAGUCACGGGUGCAUGGAUUGACUUAGCCAUUUUCUGGCGAGCUUCGCAUUUCCACAAUAUGGUGAUUGCGUCUUGCACCAUGGUGGGCCAAUAGAAUCCCUGACGUAAGGUUUUUGCCGCGGUGGCCCUUGGCGCAAGAUGGUGGCCGCAUAUCCCUGAAUGGAUUUCCAGGAGGAGCUCGGCUCCUCGGUCAGGAGUUAUGCACUUAAGCAACGCGGACGCUCCUUUCUUGUAUAGGAUGCCGUAGAGGAGGAUGUACAUCUUGGCUUUUGCGAGCGGAGUUUUGGUGCUUGGGCCUUCCGCUUCUUCGUCCACUUCGCCUUUCAUGGCGCGGAUAAUCGGUGUCAUCCAAGAGGGUGGAGCGUCGAAGACCAUGCUGGUCUUUGAAGCUUCGUCAAGGGCGUCGGCUUCUUCCUUUAUGGAUGGGGCGCGAAUUACUUCGAAGAAUGCACCGGGUGGCAGCGGUUCUUUGGAACCGGCCGUUCGGGCUAACCUGUCAGCCAGGUGAUUUUCUCCUCGUGGAAUGCAUCGCACCUCCAUGCCCAGGAAAUACCGUUCCAUUUUGCGAACUUCUUCGAUGUAUUUCUUCAUUCUUUCAUCAAGGCAUUGAUAUGACUUGUCCAUUUGAUUUAUCACCAGUUGGGAGUCUCCCUGGACGAGAAGGCGUCGGACUCCCAUGGCCUUGGCCAGUCGAAGUCCGAGAAGUAGCGCCUCGUAUUCUAUCAUAUUGUUGGUGGCAUUGAAGUCAAGAUGGGCAGCGUACUCCAAGAUCUUUUCUUCGAGGCUGAUGAGUAUAACUCCAGCCCCCGCACCGUCGAGGCGCUUAGAGCCGUCGAACCUCAUUAUCCAAUGUGGUUCGGGGGGCUCGGUCUUGGAUGUGAUUUCUUCGAACGGGGCUGGUGGAGCAUGCCACUCGGCCACGAAGUCAGCCAGGACUUGGGAUUUUAUGGCUGUUCUCGCCGUGAGUUCCAACGAGAAAUGCGCCAAUUCCGUUGCCCAUUUGGCGAUUCUUCCGGUGGCCUCCUUGUUGCCGAAGACUUCCUUGAGUGGGAAGAUAGUUGGCACCAUGAUGGUGUGGCCCAUGAAGUAAUGACGGAGCUUUCGAGAGGCCAUGAGGAGGGCGUAUGCGAUCUUCUCGAUCUGGGUGUAUCGACCCUUUGCUCCUCCCAAAGCUUCGCUCACGUAGUACACCGGGCCUUGUGACCUAUCUUCUUCGUUCACGAGUGCUGCGCUUAUGGCGACCGGGGUCGCGGCGAGGUAUAGGAGCAAAGGUUCCCCCUGUUUUGGGCUCGUGAGAAGUGGAGGGGUCGACAAAUAGGUCUUGAGCUCUUUGGGCUUCGUCGAUCCACUCAAAGUUGUUGAGGCACCUCAAGGCUUUGAAGAAAGGGAGACCAUUUUCGGCUGACCGGGCGACGAAUCGUCCUAGGGCCGCCAUUCUUUCCGCUAGGCGUUCCACAUCUUUGACGGAGUGAGGAGGUUCCAUCUCAAGGAUGGCCCGAAUUUUUUCCGGGUUGGCCUCGAUCUCCCGUUGGGAGACAAGGAAGCCUAAGAGUUUCCCUCCUCGAACUCCAAAUGCUCACUUUUCCGGAUUGAGCUCCACGCCGUACUUGCGGAGAUUGUCGAAGGUUUCACGCAGGUCCUUGGAAUGAGUUCCUACAAUUUGACUUUUGAUUGGCCUUCCUUGAGAUGCUCCAUUUAGGUCGGUAAAGUCGACACACAUUCGCCACUUACCGUUGGCCUUCUUCACCAAGACAGGAUUGGCUAACCAUUCGGGGUGCCAAACUUCUUGAAUUAGCCCGGUGUCGGAAAGUUUGGCGAUUUCUCGCUUGAUGACCUCGCAUCGCUCGGUGGAGAGUUUCCGAAGUUUUUGCUUUACGGGAGUUUUGUCGGGCCUUACGGCGAGGCGAUGCUCCAUGACGUCGCGCGGGACUCCUCCCAUGUCAGAAGGCGACCAAGCGAAGAGAUCGGAAUUCUUGCAAAGUAGGUCGACGAGUUCUUCCUCAAGUUUACUCGGGAGAUUGGCUCCGAUCUUCACCGUGCGCGUGGCGUCUUCUUGGGAGAUGCGUACUUCCUUGAGUUCUCCUUCGGUGAGGGGCUUAGGGAUGUAGCGCUCCGGGUGAUCGGUUCUGGAUGCUCCUGCAUUCGAAAGCAUGUUGAUACUCUUGGAUGAUUCUUCCUUUUCGGCGCACUUGGUCUCAUGGCGGUAGAGGGUCUUCUUGUCGGAAGAUUGCUCGCCGCGGACCUCUAUCACGCCUUUUGGGCCCGGGAUCUUCAUACACAAGAAGUUGUGGUGGACGGCGGCGCAGAGACGGUUUAGCGUAGUCCUCCUGAGGAUGGCGUUAAAGGAGGCCUCCAUGUCCACUACGUCGAAGCGCACAAGCUCGGUUCGAUGAUUUGUGGCGUCCCUGAAGGUCGUGAGGAGCUCAAUUUGUCCGAGCGGCUGAAUGGACUUCCCCGGUACAAAGCCGGUGAGAGGAUAAAGGGAUGGCUGCAAUGAGCCGUUCUUGUAUCCCCCUUGUGGUUCUGUCAGCUUCUUCAAAGUGCUCAGAUAUAGGAUGUCGGCGGAGCUUCCGCCAUCCACCAGAAUCUUUUUGAGCUCACAAUUGGCGACGAUCGCCGUCACGAAGAGGGCGUCGUCGUGCGGGAAGCUUAUCCCCUUGGCGUCUCCCUCGGUGAAGGUGAUUGGCACGCUUGCCCAUUUCGGUGGUGGUGUUGGGGUGAAGGUUUCCACGACAUUGACUUCUCGAGUAUACUCCUUGCGCUGUCGCUUCGAUCCCUGGCCUGUGGUGGAGCCCCGAGUAUCACUCCGACGUGAUGCGCGGGUUCUUGAAAUGGAAGGUUGUCUUCCUUAGGUGCCGGGUCAGCCACGAGGUUGUCUUCCUUGAUGAAAUCUUUGCGCUCCUGCGUUCGCCGUCGAAUCUUCUGCUUGACGGGACGGGCGUCCAGGCGCACCGCGAGUCGAUGCUCAAUCACCUCCAUAGGGACUCCGGGAAGGUCCGACGGCUCCCAAGCGAACACGUCGGCGUUCUCCCGGAGGAAAGUGAUGAGGGCGCUUUCCUAUUCGGCAGUAAGGUUCGCACCGACGGUGACGGUGCCCUUCUUGUUGCCGGCUUGGAGGGGCAGCUUCUUCACCUUGGUGGCCUCCUCCCGGAACUUCUGGCCCUUGCCGGGGCACGAGCUCGAGCCUGUGCUUCCCCCGGCAAGCUCUUGCGGGGCAGCGCGGGCCUUCUUCGUUGCCGGGUCGUCACCGGGCGAGCCUUCGUCUCCGGCAACGUCCUCAUCACCGGCGUCAGCUGCGGCGGCGGCCCUGACGACCUCGCCAACGCACCAGGCUGCGUCCCUGAGGUCGCACCUGAUGGAGAGGACUCCGUACACGGACGGCAUCUUCAUCACGCCGUAGGCGCAAUGCGUCGCCGCCAUGAACUUGAUCAGCGCCGGCUGACCAAGGAUCCUGUUGUAGGGCAACGGGGUGUGCGCCACGUCGAACACUAUGUGCUCGGUCCUGAACGCUUCCCGGGACCCGAAGGUCAUCGGCAGCGUGAUGCGCCUUAGGGGACGCACGAUCCCGGGGUUCACUCCCCGGAACGGGUCAGUGGGUUUCAGCUGCUCCACCGGCAACUGGAGUUUCUCCACCAACCUGGCGGACAGGAGGUUUAGCCCCGCUCCGUUGUCCACCAGCACCUUGGUCACCGUCAAGUUGCUGAUGAUCGGUGAGACCACGAAGGGUAUGACCCCUGAACCCAACUGCCGCGCUGGAGGCGUUCCCACGAUGCGCCAUUCCAGUGAGCGCGAGCGGAAAAAGGUUGCACAUCUCGACGGGACCUCCCCCGGCGGCCCGUAUGGCUGUCGUCGCACGGGGCUCCGACACCGGGGAUGCGUGGGCACCCCCUUUUUAGGUUCGGCAGUGGGCUACGGGUAUCGCUCCGGCGAUCGCCGGCGGGACCAAUGCGAGGCGUAAGAACCUACCAAGAACGCAUGCACACGCUUUUUACCCAGGUUCGGGCCACCUUGCGGUGUAAGUCCUGCUUGUCUGAGCUUGUAUUACUGUGCGAUUGGCUGUUUUACAGGUUGCCGGGGGGAGCUCCCGGGUGGUCUCUUUUUGGCUAAGUGUUCUUUGCUACUUCGAGCUACUGCCAGUGUUGCACUACGAGUUGGCUCAACAAUCGAACCAACGAAUCAACCAAGAAAAAUCCAACCAGAAAACGAACCCUUUGACCGUUGGCGAGGGUCCUCCUUUUAUAGCCAAGGGGAUACCACAGGUGCCACGACGCAUGGUUUACAAGUGGCGAGCAAGGAGCUCGGGCAGCUCCUCCUUGGUGCGUUGGCAUGCAUGCAUGAGCGCCAACCCCGCAGCUAGGGGUACAGGGCCUAAAAAAUAGGACUGGACAGCCAAUGUUCGCCCAACUAGACGGAUAACGCCCCUCCUGUCGGUUCAUUAAAUGCGUCGUGCGCUUCACUCCUUGCCCUGGUGAAACUGCACACUGGGCGCCUGGCACACGCCCACGUGGCCCCUCUGCUCUGCUCGCUCGGCCCCGCCCUCAUGGCGGGAACCUGUGCCUGGGAACACCUCCUCCCGGCAAGUGCCUUCCCGGGAGGUGCCCAGGCGGGAUUAUUCCUCGAAGCCCCGCUAGCCUUGCCGUGCUGGUAGCUUGCCGGGCAGCCUGCACGUUGUUGCCCAGGGUGAGAUCCUCCCGGAAACUCAGCGAUGCGACCCACACGUCGUGCAACGGUGGUACUCCGGGUGCCACUGGUGCGACAAUGGCGGUGGAGUAAACAUCCAAAAAUUGAAGAGGAUUCGACUCCCCGUCGUACAGCCGUAUUGUGGGUGGCUUGAACCUUGGCGGAAAAGGCGCGUCUUGGAUCUCUCGUGUGAGCGGGUUGCAGGUCGGCCGAUUCUUUUGGUUCCUUCGGUGGCGAGGUCCUCCCUCGUCGCUUUCGUCGCUACAGGGGUCGCUUGGAGAAUGAUCUCGGCGUUUUCUUGGAGGGUCGGAGCGUCGACAGGAAUUCCUUUCGCCGCCGGCACGGGCUCCGGAUUCCGCCACUUGCUCGUUUCCAUGCAUGCUGGGGUCUCAUUCCUCGCGAGGCGCAGCUUGAGGUGGUACCUGGUGGCCGCCUUGUUCGACCCCGACGGGGGGAGCAAGGGGCGCUUGCGGGGCACUUGCAAAGCGAGGUUGAUGUUGAGUGUGUGCGACUUGGAGAGCGCCUUGCGGCAGAAGCCCCCAAUAAGGAUGAUACCAAUGAGCUCCUUGGGUGAUCGCGGCGAGCGCCAGUGGAGGUAAUCCCGGGUUGCAGGGGUCGUAGGCCGGGACUCCUUGGUUUCCUGGCGCGGAUCCUCCGACGUCACAUUGUUUCCUCUUGUAGGUUCCGAGGGCAGGGUCACCACUGGUUGUAGGGAAGGUGGCGCGAAGCCCAUCGAGCGAGGCAUGCCGAGUUUCGUAUCCCCUGCGGGGACGGCAACCGUAGGCAGCUCGCCGAUCCUUGCCACUACGUUGGUGAGUGUCGAGGGACCGCCUACGACGGUUUCGAGCACCUCGGUUCCUUCCGGGACGGCCGGUAGCGGAGGGGCGACCGUGACUUCUGUCGGGGCGACCAUGCUUGCGGCGACAUCCAGAUUGGUGAGGGUUCCUUCUUCCUCGGGAGCCCCCGAGGCACUUGCUUUCUUCAUUUGCAACCAUGUAGACUUCGCGGCAAGUUGGGGACCCGAUGAAGUAGGCAUCGUCGGGGCCAUUAAAUCUUCAAUUGCGGCGAGGGUUUCCCACGGUCGGCGCCACUGUUGUUGUUCUCGACAACAAUUAGAGUAAGGGGUGCCAAAACUCGAUGGCACAAGUACGAGUAUAAAAGUAGGGCGUGUACGCCGGCCUUAUAGCGAAGGUCGUCGUACACUUGGACAAGUGUACACGUCAAUAUUUUUUGAAUAGGUUCGGUCGACCCUGUGGGUGCGACUUAGUCCUAUGUUAGGAGAGGCUUCGAGGGGGUCGUUAACCAAAGCGUUCGGAUCGAUCGAGACUCCCCGAAUCACUUAGCGAGAGGUCGAAAGGGGCCGCCUCGUACUUGGGCCGAAGGAGGCUUCCCAAGUAGCGAGGUCAAGAUACUCUUAAGACUCUAACCCGAUUCUCUCUCCUUCGGGUUCGGGCCGAACGAGGCUUCCCGAGAUCCCGAAACUAGAACUCAUUUUAAAGAGACUCUCUAGCCCUUUCCCUUGAGUUAAUUCAAAUGAGAGUGAAUGGUACAUGCCCCCAUGGGGGGUAUUUAUAGCCUAGGGUCCAUGACAAAAGACCAUGGCUAUCCUUGGGGGAGAGAGAAAAGUGGGAGCAGAAUGGUAAAAGUAGCUUCUUGGUCCGUAACUUUUGCGUGCACCAUGUGGCAAAAGUGGGACUUGAUCCAUGGUCCAUCAUGGACUAAGAGUCCCUCCUCACACAUUUCUUGCCACCUGCUCUAACUCAUUUGACCAUUUGACCAUGGCAUGAGAGGUUUGACUUGUUGACUUGUCUUCCUUUGCCACGUAGGAUUGACCGUGCCAUGUGGGCGUCUUGACUAGUACUUGGAAAAUGUUGACCCAGUCGUCGCCACGUAGAUUUACGGCCCGGUCCGGACUUUUAUUUUACUGCAACAUGGGCUAACUAGCUGGCUUUACACGCAUAUUAAGGGUUUAACCUAUACAGCACUCCCUUUUCUUUCUAAAACGUUGUGGCGCAACAGGCCAUGUGUCGGUAAUCACUGGAAAUGAAAUAAAUAAAUCAGUAUAUAACAAUAAACCAUCAAACCUUUUUUUUGGCUAGGGCAAUGAAUCACCAUACGUGAAAAUGAUUUUUUUUCCACGUGGGCACACAACCACACUUUUGAAACUUAUUGAAAUUAAUCACAUCUCUCUAAUUUACAAAAAUCAUGAUUAGAAAAAUCAGGUAUUGGGCAGAAAUUUGUGCCCAGAAUAUUUUUUAUACGAUUAUUUAGAGGUACGUGCAGGUAUUUCUGUGGGACAAUAAUUCCACAAGGAAUUAUUCACGGUGCCCAACAUGCUAUGGUCAGUAUCGAACGGGGACAUUUCAGCAUAGCAUCACUACGUACUGGCUCUACAUACACUGAACAUUCAUCUAUCGCUCAGCUGGCUGAUGUAUUUUGGUCAUCAUCUUGGAAUCUUUUACCUCCAGCUUUGGUUCAUUAUUUUCAUACACGUCGACCUCCGAUGUUAACCCAUGGAGUCAACAUAAUAUACAGGUCUUACGGCUGCAAGUUUGUGACCCUCAGAGUAUCUUUUGAUCCUCCUUAGUUCAACCAAAUGAACUAUUGCUAGUAGGUCUAGUAGGGUCAACAUGUUGCACCUCCAGUAGGUCUACGUACAUUGAAUCUUUAUCCUCGAAUAUGCAUUACAAUAUCAUAAAAACAAGAAAAAGAAUUCAUAUCCUGUUUAGAGAGUUCGAUCGAAAUACCCUUUACUCUGCCUACAGACUUAGUGCAGAUUUGGGUCAGCUCUCUUGGAACUUUAUGUGUUCUAAUCUCAUGUUUAUCGGAUGUUAGUAUAUGCUUCCGUUUCGGAAUACAGAAUGUUUUUUUGUCUGCCUGGGCCUGGUAUGGUAGUAAGCCCGGCUGAAAGUCGCGGCAUUGCACAUGCCACAUGGUACUUUAGACCGGUCCGGGCUGGUAACGGCAGCCCGUGGACUGUUAAACCGAGUGUUGCAUACGCUGGCCAGAAACGAGCCCAUCCCGGCCCAUAAGAUGACCUUCCUAAUGGGAGCAUAUAAAAUCCUGCAUCGGCAGCCGCAGUAGGGUUUUCCUCUCGCGCCGCCGGAACCAAAUCGCAGAAGCAGGUGAGCGAGCAGACGAGGAGGGGAGGGAUGGCGGACAAGAAGGGCGGAGCGCCGAGGAAGGAGGAGGUGGUGACGAGGGAGUACACCGUCAACCUCCACAAGCGCCUCCAUGGCUGGUAUGCUGCGACCUCUGCUCUUGCCACUUCCCCUUCCUGUCACAAGAUCUGACGCGAUCGAGCCAUCCUGAUAUUUACCCAUGCCCUUGCCAUUAGUGAUUUAGUGAUAUGAUUUUAAUUUAUGGCGCCACAUCGCGCUCGUCGCGUACUUUUUGCUGGAAUAAUUUUGUGAUGUUGCUGCUGGUAGUCUGGUAUAUUUAAGAUUUCCAAGUCUUGUUUAGCCGUGAGCCCUGAUGCUAAAUAGUGCCGUAGCGUCACUCCAUUUGUCCAUUUUACUAUCAGAAUUAUAGCUAGCUCCAAGCGCGAUUCAAUUUCUGUUUUUGUCCCCAGAAAGUUUGCUAUGAUUAGUUAAAGCGCCUAUUUGACAUAGCUUAAGAAUGUAUAACCGGUUGAGUUUAAAAGACCUGUUUGUAGAUAAGCUUUAGUGACUGUAAUGGUAAACUCAAUUUCCCUCAUGAGACACUUGUAAGCUGGUUGGACCCGUGGCAAAGCAGGCAAGUUUGAUUCUAGAUAGUUAAGUUCAAGAAGAAGCUGUUUGCUUGGUGCGGGGUUGCUUAAUUUAGGGCUACAUUGGGUAUCAUUGAUGGAAGCCAAUCCCUUGUAUGGAAAUUAGUUCAAUCUGUAGGUCUUGACUCUCGAGCCUUGUCCUGAACUGUCUUGGUAUGAAGAUUUGGCUACUUAAUGAAUUCUAUGGAUGCUCUAUUUUUUAAUCAGACAAUGUUGUUUCCACUCGGUUUGAAUGGAAAAUGGGAGUAGCCCUGCUUUGAGAGAGAAAAGGACGCUCUAUUUCUCUUACUGAAUGUGUACUUAAGGGAUUUGUUUUGAUUCAGGUGAUGCGUGUGGUAUUGUUCUUGAAGUGAACUUUGUACUCUUGAUUUCUUGUAUUCACAUAACAUGGGUUUAGUCAAUUCCUAUUUAACCGUGCUAUGGUACUCAACUUAAACGCUUCAACCCUGAGUUUUUUUGCCCCUCACAAUGAUGCCCGUAUUUUAGGGAACAAUGUUUACUCAUAUUGUAGCACAACCAGUUCGAAUGAGGAAUGUCCUGUGUUGAAGUUAUACCGGUGCAUCUUCACUAAUUCUUUUCAAAUGUUUGACAGUACAUUUAAGAAGAAGGCACCCAACGCCAUCAAGGAGCUCAGGAAGUUUGCACAGAAGGCCAUGGGCACCACGGACGUCAGGAUCGACGUGAAGCUCAACAAGCACAUCUGGAGCAGUGGGAUCAGAAGCGUGCCCCGCAGGGUUCGCGUGAGGAUUUCCCGCAAGAGGAACGACGAGGAGGACGCUAAGGAGGAGCUCUACUCUCUCGUCACCGUUGCCGAGGUGCCUGCUGAGGGUUUGAAGGGGCUGGGAACCAAGGUCAUCGACGAAACUGAUUAAACUCACUGCUUUGCCUACAUCUUUAGAAAGAGUCCUAGUUUUGUACCGCUGCUUCAAGCUUUGUUUUUUUGGUAUCCCAUAGAAGUUUUGGACCAUGGCACAUCACAAGCUUUUUGUUCACCUGAAUUUCGAAUUCCCUGGAAUUGCCCGCUGUUCCUGUUGUGUUCAUUGCUCGUGUUGUGUUCACUGCUGGCUCUGAUCUACAGCUGAGUAAAUACUCUCUGUGACAAUUUGGAAAUAUGAGGUUUAUGGUUAGUUUGUCGUUUGAUAGUUGCCCAAGCACUGUUUCGAAAGGAUUACAUCUAUAUGAUCGGCCAACGCAAGCUAGUCGCCGUGUUGUCGGUGCGACGGACCUCCAAUCUACAUUAAGUACAGCCUCACGUCAGGGCUGGCGAGUCCACAUCGUCGGCGGCCAUCCGAAUGGUCUGACGACCCCGGUCAAAAAAAAAAUGGUCUGACGACGGCGAGUGAUUUCCGUUGGGCCAUCGCAUUCGCACCUAUUCUGCUAUUCAUGUGUAAAGGCUAGUGGAAACAGCUCACAGGAAAGCGCCCUGAGCGCUGUGCUGGUCGAUCAGAUUCGUCGGCAGGAAGAGACAAUAUACAAGUGCUGACAAAAUCGUGCAUCGGGUCACACCAUAGACCAAAUCUUUUAGCUUCAAGGGGCCAUAGAGUUGCUCAUUUCUCUCCUCCUAUACUACGAAAAGAACAACAUAUAUAACACAUAUAGAUAGGGAUGUACAAGGACGGGAUUGCAUUUCCACCGUACCAUUUUGCUGGAGGCAGUUCUGCUGCUACUACAAAGCAGCUUCUUUCAGGGUGAACACAUCGCUAGUGUCGGUCUCCCUACCAUUUUAUGUAUGGUACGGAGUAUAUAGCUACGUAGGAGGGAUUUCCAGGUUUUACACGUUCCGUGAAUCAGUGCCGCUCUGACCAUACCUCUCUCAGGAGAGUGUACCGCGCGUUCUCCAUGGAAGCUCCUCUCAGCUGAGCAGUGAAAGGCGUGACUCCGUUGGACGGUGAAGGUGGAGCGCUCUUGUCGAAUAGGGAUGCGAGGGGGGAGUCCAGGUCAUCCAGAUCGUCGUCGCUGGUGUACCCUCUCCUCUGGACCAUGGAACCUCUCCUGUCUAGCUUUGCGCCGCCUCCGGUGUCCGAAACUUUCUCUGCUACAUCCAGUUGGGAAGGGGGGCGGUACGUAACAGGAGCAGCGAUGCAUGGGAAUGCGCUGGCCGCAUCUUUUCCAAUGGAACGCUCUAGCAAGCUCUGCAUCACAAUAUCAAGUGUCGUGUUAACCACUACAAUACUGAUAAAACUCUAGAGUAUUUUGGUGAGAGAGAAACAACACCUCAGAAUUCAGCUCCUCUAAGACUAUGCUAGGAACAGGAUCAGGACAGAACUCAUCAGGGGUGAAGUUGCAUAGGAUUCUUGUUACUAGUGGUAGGCCAACCGAAGGGCAGAUCUGAUAGAGAUAAGAGAUCAAAAGCUUAAUAACAGCUUAAGCCAACAGAAAAAAAGUACAAUAUUUUGUCAGGACUACGUGAACUGACCUCUUUCCUGAUGGAAUUUUCAAGAAGCAUGUCCUUUGGAAGCAUCAGGAGAUCACUCAGUUCAUUAAGAAGUCGAAAAGAUUUUCCUUCAGCUGCACCACUUCUUUCAUCGUUGCCAUUUCCUAUGUCAAGACAUUCAUCCUCAGAGUCAUCAUCAUCAAUGCCCAAGUUAUCUGUUAACCAUCUCGACCAAUUCCCAAUCUGCAUAGGCAUUUAUUUCAUAUAAAUUGAUUGUUUGAGGUGCAAUGGCAGCUCCGCAACACAUUCAUAAUAUAGGUAACGCAGAAUGCUUUUAUCUUUUAGGCAAGCACCAUCCUAACGAGUAACAAACAACUUCAUAAACAUUUAAGAAAAAUAUUGACAGAUAACUUGAAAGGUGAAUCAGGUACAUACAGAGUUCUUCAGCUGUGCACCUGACCCAAAGCUUAGCUCGCCAGCUGGAAUUGGCAGGACUUUUGGGUCGACAAUUGGGUCAGAUAUAGGAUCAGUUGGUAUCUCACUAGCUGACUCACGAAGGAUGGCAUUAAACAUUGCAACAUCUAAACGGGCUACACAUUGCUCCAUCACCUGAUAAUAGAAGAACACGUGAAUAUUAGCAAUAACAAAAGAUGACCUUUCUUUUUGAUGAAUUAAGGAUUCAAUGAGUACCAGUUUUGCUAAUACUGGCAAGCAGCCACACUCAUGUCCACCAGCACGAAGGGGGCAGAUUCUGCUGAAUGCGUCAUGAAAUGCAGCCUUCCACAGGUUAACAGAAAAUGUGCCCUGCUGCUGAUCACCCAAAGAAGGACCUAACACUUUACCAGCCUUUGGUGUUGAUGAACCUUCUGCCCGGGUUUGCAUGUGAGGGGUUAGUGCCUGGAAAAAAAACACAAUUCACAUUGUGGAGAAAGUAGAGCAUACUUAAAAACAGUAUAGCGUUAAGAGAAUCACAGCAAGUAUUUCUGAAACACUGGACCAGGAUUGCAUGCCUAGUUUGGAGAAAGGGAUGCUCUCAGUGAAAAUGUCAACAAGGUUAUGUGGUCUAAAGAAAAAUUUACCUGCCACCACACAGUCUCGACAAUCCGAGAAAAUAUCCAAGAUUCAAUCUUCUCUAAUGCAGCCAAAAGUGUACUAGUUUCCUGCCAAUCAUCUAGUAUCUGUAUGGCAGCAAGGUUGGUUUGCUUGCCAUUGGAGUUGUUGUUCUGGAGCAUUGGCAUGGAUUUCCCAUCAAACCAUUUUGCACUGUCAUUUAUGUUUUUAGUUUUCAUUGUCGGAGUCGACUGACGUGAGAUGCCAAAAGAUUUUGCAAUUAUCUCCCUGAGGACAACUGUAUUGGAAAGCCAGAAUGUCAACCUACAUCAAAAGCAGAUUGUUAAUGGAGGGAAUUUUAUUCAUAGGCCAUAUCUCAUACGCUAAAGUCAGAAUUGAGAUGAAAUAUAGCCAUAUCCUACCUCGAAGCAUCAUUACUACAGGACUUCGCAACAAGAACGAGACCAGAAACAGUGUUUUUUGCUACUGAAGCUGUCUUAUCUAUGGGCCAAAACUUGGACGCAUGAAUGUACAGCCUUGAAAGACGUCGAGCUGGGGUAUGCAGCUUAUGUGCUGAGCUUCCAUGUUCAGGCAUUACAGAGUAAAGAGAAACUUCGAGUGCAGCAACUUCACGAAGUUCCUGUUCCAACUUCUCAAGUUUUGACUGUAGUUCUUCGUUCCUUUGAUGUAGCACUGUUUUUUCAUCAUCAAUUAUCUUUUCUUCAAUAUCAACAAUGUCAUCAUCAGUACCAGUACUCUGAUCACAGUGUGGAGCUUCAUCUAAGACGUCCAUCUCUUUGGCCUCUUCAAUGCCUCUAUCAUCAGUGGUUCCUGCCUCGCUAAUUAUAUCAUCUGUUUCCUCAGAAAAUUCUGAUGGAGAGCGAGAAGGAAUUUUUACAACAUCUGGUCUUCUAACUUCAAUAGCUUUAGCGGCAUUAACUGCUUUCCUAGGUUUUGGAGAUCUGUUCUGAGUGUCGCUCAAUGCUUUGUGUUGCAGCUUGUUCUGAACUUGACGACCGGUGUUGCUUUUGGCCAUGCGGGGGCUACUUUCUUUUGUCUCUUUUUUCACGAGCUUCUUCGGAACCCCAGAAACUCGUCUCACUCUAUUAUCUUCAUUACCAUGAGCCUCUCCUUGUGAUGAACGAGAAACUCUGGCUGGUUCAUAAUCUGGUCCAGCUCCCUUCUCAUCUCUCACUUCUCCAUUCUCUUUGGCACCCAUUUCAGAAUACCUCUAACAAAUCCAAUGCCUGGAGAAAUAAUAAUUAUAUCAUUCUUACUUAUUUUGCAAGACAAGCAUUGCAAGGUAAGGCUGAAAACAUAGACAAAAGUCAAGUCAGAAGAAAACUACAUGGUUCAAGAAAGAAAUUUGAAAAACAGAUCUGGAAAGUUUUCAGCAUGCACAAGAAGAACAGUGCCACACUAGUUGAUCGAUGUCUAGUCCUAGAAGGUGAAGACACAACUUUCUGAACCGAGAUGACCACUCUCAUUUUCAUACAAUUGAACUCUUAGUACCUUCAAGGCUUCAACUCCAAGAUGUGAUGUCAAAAUCAAGGUGCCAAAGGACCUCCGCUGAUUUAGGCAAACCAUCCAUCCUAUAUUCCUUUUUUUUUACUCCAUCUAUCUUAUAUUCUUAUGUGAUUGGCGAAGAAGGUUCACGGUGACAGAUUGGCGAAGAAGGUCACGGUUGUCACCGUGAACCUACAAAGGCACAUGGGGCCAUACUAUCAAACCACUGGCGUUCCACUCUGGAGAUCCUUAGGUCCAAACAAGUCCAUAAAGGUUCAAGUUCCUGAAUGGCAAGCAUAUAUUUGUUCUAAACUUAUAUCAAUAAAAAGAUGGGAAAUUAACCUGCUGAACUACUUUGCAUGAAACGGCAUAGCAGAGAAAAAGGAGUAACAUAAACACCAAUCAGCAAAUCUUAACCCUUGCCCGAAAUUACCAAUCACCACGAAGAGCAACUAGGAAGGCAGGGGCAGGGCUUGCCAAUAAUUGCCGCAAACGGUGAAUUCACUAAUCAAUGACAUGGAGAAGGACAUCUUAAGGGAAGAAAUUGUUGUCAAUUCGCCGGACGAAAUUCCUUCAUAAAUGCAGAUGGUAGACGAGCACCGACCGAACCGAACAGCCGCUACGGAAUUCCUAACAUAUUCAAUUCUGCGACCAACUCGGUCGUAUCGUAUCACAGCGAAAGCUCCCCGUGGACGAAUGAAUAGGGAAAAGCAAGCAAGCAAGAGCACGCACCGACAAACAGAAACUCAGGAAUGUGGAUCCCGAGCUACCCCCAAAUCCACACCCCAAGUGCUCAAUUCACCACGAAAACGGCAAAACUCCCAGGGGGAACCGUGAGAAAAACGAAUCAAUGCUGCUCGCGUCAACCAGAAAUCCCGGCCACGAACUGACCGGCGGAACUCCAAGCAGAACGACCCCCAAGGGAAUCGAUGAGCAACUAAAAAGGGGACCAAAUCCAGCCCCGGCAGAAACAAACAAAUCGAGAGCCGAGAGCCGCCGCGGGUCAAAUACGGCCCCGGAGAUCCGGUGGAGGCCUCACCGAGCAAUCUCCCAGGCUCGGGAGAUCAAAUCAUAGCGCGGGUGCAAGGGAAGAGAAGAGCGGUGCUCACCUCCAGCAGCAGCACUGACCGCCGCAGCGUGGCGCUUUCGCGGUGGAGCUAGCAGAGCGGGUUCAAUGCUCGGGCGCUCAGAUUCCCGUUCCGGAGCGAGCAGGAACAGCGUCUUCGCGGCAGCUUCUGCUCCGCUUGGGGGUUGGGUUCCUGCGUGUGGAGGUAGCGCGGCCGUCGGCGCCAGAGAUGGGACGCGAGGCGAGGCUCGUGGGUGAACUGGCGCUGCCGGCGUGGGUUUGGAGUGGUAGGCGAAGUGGUCGUCGUGGAGACACGGAGAGAGAGUGCGGGGACGGAGUCGCUGCCGCUUAUAUCGGCCGCCCGUCCAGUGUGUUUUACCUUUUCGGUUUGAACCGUCCAACGCGGCCGAGUGAAACCAAGUAGGAGUACUGUAGUAGUAGCAGCACUGUAGCACCUAAUCUAAUUUUAUUUUAUUUUAGAUACUCCAUUUUCUACUGUAGUAUGCAACCAUCCAAGUGCAUCUUCUUUGCAUUCCCCCCCCCCCCCCCCUCUGUUUAGACUUGCUGCAUUCCAAAAAUAUAAACUAUUUUGCGCUGAAUUUUGUCUGGUGUUUGCUUGUUUUUCUAAAUGUUUCGUGAUGUUCUUCGAAUUCUGCUUGGGUACGGUUUUUAUCUAUUUUUUUAAAAUGAAAACCAUUAACGAAUAAUCUUAUAUCUAUACUUAUACCUAUCUAAAAAAUACGGGCCGUUCCCUACACCAUUGUCGCCUGUCAAACUUCGCUCGCCUCGCCCAACGCCCGUCUCACCGAUCCCUGACCCGACGGCCGACGCCCCUGUCUCACCGCCGAGCAGGCCGAAAUCAUACACAUACACAGCAGGCAGUACUUAAUUGUUGUGCUGAAUUCACUUGAGCUUCUAUGUACAUGGAUACUUUCUGUUGGUCUUCACAACAACAGUAGUACAUAGUUGAUUUUUUUAAUCUAGAGUUGAAUUUUAUGCCUGGAUGACUAUAUGCACUUGUAGGUUUGAAGAAUAGGAUAUCUAGAAUAUUUAUGGUCCAGUCUCACGAGGCUCUUCUUCUGAUGUUGCAUUUGUGUGGGUGUGAGGACUAAUUGUGGAUUAUUGGCAAAAAAAUAUUUCUUGAGUUGACAAUUUAUGUGGCAUCGUCACAUAGAGCUCAUUUUAAUAUUAAGGAUUGGGCUACUGAUCGAAUAAAAUAAUUGUAUUUUACUUUCUGUUACCAAUCACUUCUUUUCAUUGGGAGGAUUGUGAGGAUUAGCAAACAAUGAUUCUGAAAUGUUGAAAGAUAUUUUGUUUUCUUUUUAAAAUUUAGUAUCGUGAGCUUAUUUCUUCGUGAAAAAGAAGUAGAUUUCUUUUUCAAAUUUGUAUCACUGGCCGGGAUCCAAGUCCGAGUUGACAGCCCUCAUGGAAAACCCUCCGAUCGCCUCAUCUCAGGACCCGUGGCACACAAUCUGUGAAGAUAUGAGGGCUCGAAAGAAAGAACUCAAUGACGAAUGCUAUGUGAUUUUCAGAAGGUAUCGUCAUCUUUUGAUAGAGUAGAGUAUAGAGAAAAAAUCUUUAGAAGAAAACUUUUUUAAAAUGAUGUUUGUUGAUUGUCAAAGAAAAACAAAAUGAGAAAUUAUUUAUACAUCUCUUCGAGUGUAUCAUUUUAUUUUGUUAUCCCGUUGCAACGCACGGGCAUUUCGGGCAGUAUUAUCUUAAAGAAAUAAAGCAUGGAACCAUGUAACGGUCAAAAAUAAAGGCGUCGAACAAUAUAUAUUCUAUAGAUUUAAAGUGGGGCCUAAAACUACUUCUCUCUCUCUUUUCUAGACAAAGGGCAUUGUACUAUAACUUCUCUUCUCCCUUUCGUGAUCAUCACUCACUUUGAUACAUUCCCAUGGCCGGCUCUUUAUUCUUCCCAAGCAUACGUAUAUACUUGGAUAUAUACGAGUCUAUUUAUAGUCUCUUGAAGCAAGGUACACAACCCAUACAUACAUAUACCAUACUAUAUGCACCGGCCGGAAAGACAUUCUGUCCCAAAACGUGCUCACCAGACUCGCCUACGGCGAUCCUUCUACCCAUCCCAUAGAAGUCGACGGCGUUGUUUAAUGACCACAUCAUCGAACACGACAACUUUGUGCGUACGCAUCCGUGGACACACUCGGUGUUGAAUGUGGACAGCAUGACCGGCAUACAAUUUUUGGAUCCUUGCAAUGUUGGCAAGUAGUACCAGUACGUGUUUACUCUGCCUUUUCUUCAAGGGAAUCAAGCAGUGUGCAAUUCUGUUUACUAUAUAAAUAUACUGAUGGUACAAGUGUUCGUUAAUUGCAUGUGAAAUUACAUCACCUUUGCAUGCAAAUGCAUUCCCUCUUCUUCUUCUUGUCCGUAGACACCUCUGGAGCCCCAUGGAAGCAAAGCCGAUGGUACGCUGCAGAGUGGGCCAGCCACUGGGCAACACUGCAUUUGUGUUCCUCCAUGUGUCCACUUGUUAUUAGCACUCUUUGUGAUCGGGCAUCCGGCGCCAGUGAAUAAUUAUAUUGCGUGAUUCCCCGGCACACAAAUAAAGAACAGAUCAAAUCUGCCGGCGUGCAAUUAUUUGGCCAAAAAUGAUCAGGACAAACGAACAUAUUCUUCACACUAGCACGGAGAGAAAAAUACCAAGCAGACACGAAAAAGGAAACCCUUUUUCUCCAUUGCGUACAUUUUAUUUUCCUUUUAAUAAAGGGGAGGUGAUCGACCGGACUCUGAUGCGGCCCAAAAGGGUUCGGCUCGCGGUGACCGGCAGAGGCUGUCGGUGGCCACCGGCCGGUUCCGGUCACCGUGGCGCACUCAGAGAAAAUUUGGCUCCACAUAUGAAUGCUCCAGCUACGACGCUGUACUUGGUACUACUGGUAUAGUAUGCGGCUGAUCUAGGACAAGGUUGUGAAGAAACGGAGCCAUCCAAAACCAACCUCUCCAAUUAAGCACCACCACACUAAUAAUACGACUACAGAGUCCCAUUAAGGAUGGCCUAAUUGCAACUAAUGCUGUUCAAAGUAGACCAUGAUGGUGCGACACGUGAAUCCUUUAGUUUGCAGACAGUUCUUCAUGUGUGUACGCCUCGGUGUGUGCUCAAUCAUCUCAGUUCUUUGGUCUCUGCUCUAAGCGGUCGGUGAGGGGGCCUUUUCAGUCUUCACUCAUCACAAUCAUAGCAUGAAAAAUAUUCAUUUCGACAUGAUCCAAAGAGGCUUUGCGAAAGCAUAUUCAGAGACACAUGGAAUUUAUAGGGUGAAUUUGAUAUGCAUGUGGGAUCAAAACAAAGGAAAUUUUAAAAGAUAUUCUUGUUUUUUGGGAGAGAGAGCAAUAGUGCCACAUAUAAGGACAUGCCAACAAGAACCCACCGUAUUGCUUCCUUGCUUUACCUAUACAGCUUGAUCCCUAUUGCUAGUGCCUGAACCCAAAACGCCAUGACCAUACACAGCCAGCCACAGAGGUAGGUGAGCUAGGUACUGACCUGGAGUCACGUUGGAGGCACGUCCAGAGGGCGAGCCAAGCACGCCGGCUGAAAAGGCCAAGAGACCACACAUGUUUUUGAGCAGAUACUACUAUAUGCCUCCCAGUAUUCAGUACUAGUAGAAUGCAUGAAUGAUGAUGAGAAGAAAACAGUGUCGCAUUUGCCUCAAUUUAGGGAUGAACAGACCUGGGAAUAGCUGUUUGAAUGUGAUCAUGAUAUGCAGCAUGAGAAUGAAGCCAGCAGCGGCAACGGGAACAGGAAAUAAAGGGAAACAAUUAUGUUGCAGGCACAUCGGAUGGAACAGCAUGGGCCACUAUGCUAAUGAUACCAUCCAUCCUUUGGCUCCAAGUAUAUGUUACUUUCAUACUACAGGGGAAGUGGGCAGUGAGCCAGUGACUCCCUAACCAGAAAUUCUCAUCAAUUUUUAUCCCAAUUUUUAUUGCACACCUAUAUUCCUUCCAUGUAGAACUACAAUUAAAACGAUCAUCUCAAGAUUAGUUGGAAAAGAAAUGGAGAGUAUUAGCUAGAGUUCUUUGAAAGCUACCGUCAGGUAAGAUGUUAAUGUCACAACAAAAUCGGUUCGUAACCUUUUUGAUAAACAUUGUAAGCUUGCAACAUAAGUUACUGCCAAUGUCUAGCUUUGGAAGGUGAUGUACCUUAUCAGAUCGAAACAAGAGGCAUCCGGUAAAGAACUAAAGCUCUUUAGAAAGCUUUCAAUCUAUGCAAAAGUUGAAACCUGUACUCAUAUGGAGGUAGAUAUAUACAGGCCACCGGAAAAGUUCAUACAUAUCUGGAAAAUGAAACAUUCUAAAAGAGCACGCAUCCAGAGCAGAUCUACAUCAGGGUGUUACAUAAGCUGCCCAAAGGACUAAGGUUUACAGGCUGUAACGUUAAGAAGCAACAAGUUGUAGAUGGAGAUACAUCUUCUUUAUUUGGUAGACCAACAAUUCCAUGAAAUCGACUCUCCACAAUUGACUGGCAGUACUGUGCAUCAGAAGGUACCGACAGUAUUUAGACACAGCCAUUCAGGUUAAAUGUACAAACAAGUGUGGUGUGGCCUUAGUUAUAUAGCUGCUUGUUACCUGACAGAAUGUGAGGUAUUGAAAUAUAGUCCUUACAGUAACCACAUUUCAACUUGAGAACUUAAUAAGACAUUAAAUAAAAGGCCACUGCCGCAUGUGCAUGCUUGUGGUCCAUAGCAAAUGGAACUAGAUCUAUCAUCUUCACUACUUUGUUUAGCAAAAAGUCAGCAAUUCAGGAACAUCAUACAGGUUAAACAUUUUCUGGUGUAUUAAAAUUUAUCUAGUUAAAGUUAAACGCAUUUAUCAUAACUAGUAGGAGACUGACAGUUCAAAGAAUCUCGACAACUGAAUUCAUUUACCAGUUUUGUUGGCAAAAUUUCAACGUCAUCAAAGAUGCCUGUAACUAUGACUAAACAGUAAAACAAUUUUAAUGUCAAAUCAUAAAUAAAAAGGCAUGCAUUGAAAUUCAGGCAGGGUUGCACCAAGAGGCAAGAAAUUUAUGUUACCAAAGAUGCAAGUGCUACAGAGGGCAAUCAUAUAACAUGAGCAAGCGCAGCGCAUGCCUGGACAUCAAAAGCUGCAGUGACAGUAUAAAAUGCUUUUUAUUACUCUUUUCAUGGAUAGUAUACAAGUGUUUUUUGUUGGUAAAGAGGUUGACACUGAUCCGAUCUAGUAAACCACAUGAUGCUCAUGUGUCAGGAUGAAUUGCAGUAGAAAGUUGCGCAGCUCUAACAGCGGUUUCCCAGAAGGCGACGGUUUGGCUGGAAUUUUGAGAAAGAUCGGGGCCACGAACUGCAAAAUUUGAAAAUGUUCACAUGGACACCUAACUGACAGCCAGUAAGAUAAUGACACUUCAUGCAUCAAGUGCGAACUGAACCGACCAGAUAAAGGCAACACAUUUCAGGUAACUAGUAACACAACAUAUGUUUAGUCAAGGAUAGCAUGUGCAUCUGAAGGGCCCAAAAAGGAGAAGACAGUAGUAACACAUAUUUUAACAUUGCUCGAAUGGACAACACCAGCCCGCUAACCAUAAGCACAACCAAGGAUUCCGUUGGAUAAACAAUCAUGACUCCAGGUUUAUGUUUCCAAGGCACCCCAACUUAUCCAUCCUCUGGCCUGGUGCACCGAAACAAUCUGGGCCAAGAUACAGCAUGGGCCUUUUUUUAAAAAGAUUUCUGGCUUCCUUUGGCGCCACCUAACUGGGCCAAAUAAAUAUCAAGACAUAGCACAAUCUUGUGGUUAGAUAUUCGCAUGGUUUAUGAAUUAUGAUGGUUGGGCCAGAACAUAUACAACAUAUAGACAGGAAAGCCGCCUGCCUACAGGCUUUGACAUUUGGUGAAGAUUCCUUCAUAUACGAGUAUGCAACAUAGACAGGCCCUAACCAAGAGGCCCAAGACCAAAUCGCAACCCAAGGAGAGUUUGAUUGGCUUAAAUGCAAAACUUCUCUAUGUGGAGUAUUUUCAUAUUUUCACAAGUAACCAACCCUGUUGGCAGCUUGUGGAAGAAAACGUAUCAGAGACACCUAAACACAACCAGAGAGAUCCACUAAAUAAAUUUCAGCGAUAUCAGUUUUGCUAAUACAGAAACAUAGGGUUCCUUUUUUUUAGAGCAAAUACAUUUUCGACAGGUUCCAUUUCAUGGGAAUGAAACAGGAGUUUCAGGUCAGUGCAUGCAUUUGCCACCCUUAAUAGGAUCAAAUACUUGGUCACAUUUCAUCAGCAAGAAUUAAGACCGCCACGGUGCCAAAGGACGGCGCAUUCCACUGAUAAAUGGAGAAUUCAAGCAAAACACAAGGAUACAUGAUAAUUCACCUAGCGCGGCCACGAAACAGGAACAUGGAUGGAUACAGGUCUCAACCGCAGCCCCAACCGUUGGCGGAAGGAACACAACUACAGUACUGAACUACACAAGCCAGACAGAGACAGCCAUCUUACUAGCGCCAGAACGGACAGAAAAGUCUAGAGUUCGGGGAGACACCUGACCAGCGAGUUACUCGGCGCCGGCUUCGCCCUCAGCGGCGUGCUCCUACUGGCGCUUCUUGCGCUCGUCCUCGUAUGCUAGCCAGCACAUGCCGCAGAACCACAUGUCCCAGUCCUCUUCCUUCCAGUCCCCAAACCCUGGGCUGCGGCGGCGGUUUCCGGCUGAAGGCUUGGCCUUUGUGCGCUUGGGCCGCUCCUCCUGCCCUAGCGUCGCCCGCCCCCGCCCCGCUCCCUCCCCGCCGCCGCCGCGCGCGCAGCAUUCCCCACGCCGGCGCGGCCGUCGAGGUCGCCCGCAUCGAAGCUCUCCGGCGGGGCGUGCCGUGUUCGAGAUCGGGAAGCGGUGUGCUACUACAGUACUGCUGUCGCCUGUCGUGGAGGUGGGGAACGAGAGGAAUGUUUUUUGGUGUUUUUUUUUUCUUGACACAACGGAGAGGAAUUCUUUUUUGGUUUUUUUAGAAGCUACGGAGAGGAAGGUCAAGUAGUCAAGAGGCGGAGACGGUGAGACGUCGGCUUCGGGCAGUAAAUUGGCAUUCCUUCCGUUCCAUAAAUGUAUCUGACGGGUUUUUUAAAUAAAAAGAAAUUGAUACAUUCAAUUUUGGACAAAUUUGAGACAGAAAUUAUGGAACGGAAGGAGUACGCUAGAGCUAGAUGUCAGGUUCGGUUAAGAGUAAAAUACAUCAGAGGUCCAAAUUCUUUCGUAAAAGUUUCGAAUUAGUCCUAAUUUUUUGAAAUUGUAAGUUUGAGUCCCAAUUGUUUCAUAAGUGAUUCAGCACAGGUCCGAUGGUGUUCGGACGUGUGACUCCUGCCGACGUGACUAUUUGGUCCCACAUGUCAGGUGCCAAGUUGGACAUUUGUUUGCGAAAACCCCCCUGACUCCUCUUUUCUCUUCCAGUGCCCCUCUCCUCUUAUUCCUCUCUCCUCCCCGAUGCUCUCCCCCCCUCUGUUUUUUCCUCCCCAACCACUAAUUCCGGUGAGCUCCCUCCCCUCGCCGCGGUGGCCCGCCCUCGCGCCCCUUCCUCCCCAAUCCCUUGCUCAACGCCGCCGGUGCCCCUGCCCCUGCCAAGCGGCCCCCCCCUCUGCCCGUGGCCAUCAUCACCGCCGGUUCCCCUGCCCCUGCCAAGCGGCAGCGUUGCCGCCUGGCCCCCUUGCCCAUGCCCAACGCCGCCGCUCCUGCCCCAAAUCGCAUGCGCCGCAUGCAACAUGCCCAGCGCCGCCAUCUCCUCGCCUGCUCCCCCCGCGACAUGCCCAGCGCCGCCCCUACUCCAUGCCCAGCGCCGCCAUCUCCUCGCCUGCUCCCCCCGCGACGUGCCUAGCUAGCGCCGCCCCUACUCCAUGCCCAGCGCCGCCAUCUCCUCGCCUGCUCCCCCAGCAACAUGCCCAGCCGCGCCUCUCUCAUUCCCAUCCCCAGCGCCACCAGCACCCAAAUCAAGGAGACCCCGAGCUCGAGAUCCACACCGCUCCUUCCUUCCAUGUGCGGCAGCCGGCGGCGAGGGCAAAGAAGAAGAAGAUGGCGAGGGGAGGGAGGUCCAGGUGACAACGUCCCCGCACGGCAUUUCGUCGAGCAACGCCCAUGCGAUGGCGGCGCGCGACAGCUUUGAUGUGCGCGGCGAGGACCGCGUGCAGGAGGAGCACGUGGAGCGCGUCGGCGCGGCGGGGACGCGGAGCAGCGCGGCGGAGUUGAGGACAGGCCGGAGGGUGUACUCGUCGGCGGGGAGCUCGCCGGAGUUCGUGGCUUGGAGGAGAAGAACAGAUGGGGAGAGAGCAUCGGGGAGAGAGGAAUAAGAGGAGAGGGGCACGGAAAGGAGGCAGGUGGGUUUUUCAAAAAAAAAUGUCCAAACUUCGCACCUGACAUGUGAGCCAAUAGCCACGUCGGUAGGAGACACACGUCCGAACCAUCGUAAGACCUGCGCUGAACCACUUAUGAAACAAUUAGAAUUCAAACGUGCAGUUUGAAAGAAUUAGGACUAACUUGAAACCUUUACGAAAGAAUUAGGGCCUCUGGUGCAUUUUAUUCUUUGGUUAAUGUGAUUUUCUUGUUUAAAAUGGUUUAUGUAUUUUGGUAGAUACGAUUCGUUUUCGGUAAUGAACAUAUAGUUUCAGGUUUUUUGAGGAAAAAACGGUUGUUUACGUCAUUCGAUUAGAAGGAGUGAAACUGUACAGAGGCGGGCUCCUAAAAGCUUAAGAAGAGGGGAGGGGAGAAAAUAAAAGAGAGAAAAAAAAACCCAAGGAAGGGGAGGCUAACUGUCUCCCGUGGUCGAGAGAGAUAUAGUUUCAGAUUAGGUAAUGACAUUAACCAAAAUUAAUCAAAGUUGGAGUUUUUGAGCAACACGUAAUUGUUUGUCGCAUGUUCUAAAACCCAAAUACUCUAUCCAUGUUGGAGUAACACAUAAGUUGGAGUACCAUGUUGCUGUUGUCUUAACCGCAGUGAGACGGCGCAAACAUUUUUAUUUUGUAAAGACGGCACAGACUAUCCAUUCUCUGCGAACAAGAAUAAUAAGCUGGCUAUUAAGCUGGCUCUAUACUCUUGACACGUCACCUAAAGUCAUCGUAAGUAAGCAUUGGUAUUAUAGGCUGGCUACUAGAUGGAUCUAUUGAAUCCUUGGCAUUUAAUGCUUGCAUGUACUUUACCAAUGAGAAAACGGAUCUGCCGUAAAAAAGUGAGAGAAAGAAAAGAACCACCCGCUUGCAGCCAGCACCGGGCUGCAUGCUAGCUUUUCCUUUCCGUGUUCUGUGAUACAUCCGGACGACUCAGGAACAGCCCGCUUCAUUCUCUUUCAUCCUUUCUUGCUUCUCCCGAUGUGUUUUUGCUGACAUGGAAUGUGUUGUAGCCUGCUGACUGGGACUAUUAAACUUGCUCUCAGUGUGAGGCACGGAAGACACGGCCCCGGCCUUUUGCUGGUGGGCUGGACGGCUGGCCCACUACAAGCAAGAGUGGUCCAAAUGUCCAUUUACAUUUGCUCAGAUCUUGAGCUACAAGCCUGAGAAAUAGGCUGUCAAAGUUUAUCAAAAGCAAAAGCUCUGUCUGUGUACGUGGUGGCUAGCAGAGCAGUACUGUCUUUUUCAUGCGUUCAUGCCUUCAUUCAUGGACCGAGCACGGCACAUGCAGCAUUUAACAACGGAAUGCCCCAAACCAUGAGCAGUUGAAGUGUGUUUGACUUUCUGUCACCUGUUAUCACGAGUUCAUAAUACUUUCUGCAGGUUUACCACAAGAUCAAGGAAGAUCGCGAUUACUUCAUCUUUCUUGUUAUUCCUCGAAAUCGAUUAUAGAUUAAUUCUCGUAACUUUCUAUCAGCUGUUACUGAUUUGAUCAUAUCUUUUGAUCUUUUAAGUCCAAUUGAGCUAAUUCUCGUUGCGUUGGUUAGAUAAUUUCAAUCCUUUCUUUUGCAUACUCAUACGUAUUUUCUGGUUCAUCCAAUCAAAAGUUACGGCUGUUUUACCAUCACGAACAGAAAGGUGAUUUAGGAUUUGAACUUUCAGGAAAAGUUUUAAUUUGCUUCCGCACAAUCAUUCACCCCCCUUCUGAUUGCCUAUCUCGAUCUCACAGUUACUAUCCAAUACAGUAACAAAGUUAACUUCCUUUGACAAGGAAAGGAUCAUAUCAAGUAACAAAUCAUGGAGACGACAACCAGUUAUGAUGCCUUCACCUGGGAUUUCUAUCGGUUGGAUCAUACUUCUGUUUAUAAGCUCGUUGAAGUAUCCCUCUCCUACCUCAAAUAACCUUUUCCUUGGUUCCUCACAGAUAAAUCCUUCGGCUACCCACUUCCAUAUCGAAGUUUUUUUCUCUAUCUCAAAAUCUUCAGGAUAGAUGCCUAGAUGCAAUAAACAAGUCCUCAGAUAGCAUGGAAGAUCAUAGUAGCUAAACAGCAAAAUCUUCCUUGUGUUAUCAACCUGGUUGUUAUCUCCAUGCCCAAAACCAAUAGAGUUAUACACCUCGGACCAAUCCUCGUUGGGUCUACUGACCCACAAACUAGCUAUUGUAAUAAUAGCUAAUGGUACACCACCACAUCUCUGUAAAAUCUUUUCGGAUACUUCAACUGACUGAUCAUAGGAGUUUCCACCUUUACCAAUAGCUAAUCUUUUAUAGAAUCAUUCUAUUGAUUUAUCAAGAGACGGCGGCAUACGCCGCACACCACAACAACCAAAGAGAGAAGGAGGACAGGUUCAUGAUCGUGGGCGAACAGGAGAAGACCAAGAGCCUCCGGAUGGGGACCGGAAGGCAACGGACGUCGCGCCCAGACGCACGCAUGAGGAGAUCGAGGAAGAUCAGCAGGCAGCGGACGAUGCGCCGAUCAUGAAUAGGUCCAUGGACAUCAAGGCUAUGCGGCCGCCUUGACCGCGGCCAGCCACGACGACACGCACUCGUCCAAAGGGGGCGCCGUACAGGGAGAUGACGUUCUUCUUUCACCAUGGUACGUAAAGAUCCAUCUACCUUCCUCUCUUUCUCAGGUGCCAUGGAGAUAACGCAGGCGGGAGGCAUGCCCUUGUCUCUGGAGCUUGGCGGCGUGAUUUUGCGACCACCUUUUGACGUGGUCGUCGUGACUGCCGUCAUGGGCCGUGCGUCCUGUUCUGGCGCCCGCUCGUUGCGGGAUGUCGUCUUCAUCAAUAACUAGCACACGUCCGUCCACAGCGGUGGUACAGUCGUGGACGAUGUCUACGUACUACACACCCUGGCAGGGUGUUCUUCACCAACAAGUGCCAUCAUCAAGGCAUGGUAGCCAUGCCCAUGUGGUGUCCACUAAGACACCGCCCUAUAUGGCGCCAAACAGGUGCCUUCUCUUGCUGCCUCAAGCACAACAACGCACACACGCUCAACCUGCAAGGGCAGCAUGCACGACAAAUACAUGUUGAAAAGCAUGCGUUCUUCUUUCAUCAUGGUAAGUACGGUUUCCUCUAGCUUUCUCUUAUUCUUGUCUACCCAGGUGCCAUGGAGGUGCAUGCAGGAGGCAUGCCAUUGUCUCCAGAGCUUAGCAACCACACUCUAACGCCCGCCCGACGCGGGGUGCUGUCUUCAUCAAUAGCCCGUCAACGGCCGCCUAAGCACCUUCGUGUGCGACGGUGCGGAGUGGGGCGACGUCUACACAGUGCUCGCCCCGGGCGAAGCGCUACCUUGCUGAACAGGGCGUGGUCUCCAUCUACAAGCUAGUCAACAUCCAUCUGAACGCCGCCGCCAUUGGCGGCACAUUUGUUGGUGAUUUCUGCAUCAUUCGUGUCAUCGGGAGGGGCCCGUCGACCUGCAGCUCUCCCCCAUUGUCAAACGACACCGCUCAUGCCGGCCUUCUACGUGGUGUCUAUCAAUACACCGCAAUACAGGGCGCCCUGCUUACAUGUCCUUCAUCGACCCGGCGUCGUGACGCCGCCAAACAUGGCAGCCUUCUACCUGGUGUCCGUCGAGACACUAAGCCCGUCUUGCCGCAUCCUUCAUCGACCCGACGUCAUUGCUCACAGCGGCCUUCUACAUGGUGUCCGUGGAGACAUCGCCAUACACGGCGCCCGCCUUGGCGCACUUUUCAACAACUUCAUGUCAUGCAUGUCACCACUCGUGGCGGCCUUCUACGUGGUGUCUGCUGAGACACCGCCAUACGGGGCGCUCGUCUUGGCGCAUCCUUCACAGGUUAGUGUUGGUCCUGGUGGCCUUCUACGUGGUGUCCGCUGAGACAUCACUAUGUACACGGCGCCCGCCUUAGCGCAGUCUUCACCAACUUGGCAUCAAUACGAUGUCGCUCGUGGCGGUCUUCUACGUGGUGUCCGCUGAGACACCACCAUACACGGCGCCCACAUUGGCGCACUCUUCACCAACUUCGAAUCAGCAUGCCGCUACUCAUGGCGGCCUCCUACGCGGUGUCCGUCAAGACAUCGCUACACGGCGCCCUCUUGGGCGCAUCCUUCAUUGACUCAUGGCGAGGUCUCUUGCACCUCCGACAGCAUCUACAUCAUCGUCUUCAACAUCAAGUCUACUCUCUCAUCCGCAUUGCCGAUGGCAUUCCGACAUCUAAGCAUCUUCUCCAACACCGACUAAGCACCGGCGAUGCGAAUCCACUCCACCGACAUGUCCUUGUAUCGAUGAAGUGCAUCACCACACCACAUGCUCUUGCUUGGCACCAACGCUAGGUGACGGCAAGACAUCCUGUCCGGUCCGACGAGGCGGACAUUUUACAGGCCGGGUACUGACGAGGCGAAGGCCACUUCAUCAACCUGUCUAGCUGACAAGGCGCGUGUCAGCUAGACACUUCAUCAUACAGCGACAAGACGGCGUAGCACGCCGUUCAGCACCUGCACGGUCGAACGGUCGUGGCUUAGCAUCGACGGAGCGGGGUCGUACCACCCCUCUCUUCCUAUUCAUCACCACCAUCUUCUGCACCAAGCACAAGGAGAAGACAAUACUUGAAGACGACACCAUUGCAGCAGCUUAAUCGGAGUUGGUCUGCAGGAUGUAAUUAAGCGGGAGCUUUUCGAAGCCCUGUGAACCAAGAAACCGCAAUCGCCUAUGUCAUGUUGGCCGUGUUAGCAGGCCACACGGAGCGCAUGAUGUAUAAGGGAACUUGUAAUUUCGUUUCUCCAUGAUGAGAUUAAUAAAAUACAUGCUUUUCUACUUUGUUUUAUUUAUUUGUGUACAUUAGUACACUGGCACGCCCGCACCUUUUUCUUUUUCCUGGAGCGUUUGAGAAAAUACACUGUCUGUCUUAGAGUUUCGUUAUUUUUCUCGCCAAACAAAGUGGUUUAUUGCAGCUGUGUGUUGGCUAACAGGUUAAGGAACAGGAACAGGAAAACGGUGGUGCUGCCACUGCAGAAGUGCAGAUACAUAGGACAAGAUAUCACACUCCCUGAUCAUAUGCUGCACAGACUUUUAACUUGAUGCAGUCCACUUUUUCGAAGCAGCUGCACUCUGAUAGCCAAGAAAACAAAUCACUAGUAAAAAAAAGGGAGAAGAAAAGAAACGAAGAGAAAAGAAGGCCAGGGGAGUUUCAUUUUCCUCGCCGCUAAUUCGUCGGUCACUCACACGAAACGCCAGUACAAUUUGUCUUCUUGACUUGUUCUAUACCCAAACCUAUUAGCAACCCAGGUUAACUCGUAUACGAAACACACACACAAGUAGUCGUACACACAACCGUUGGUACGUGCAGACCGUACACACACCUCUAUACAGUACGGAGUACGUCGUUACUGCACGGUACACCACGCGGCCGUCGCCAAAUCACCGGAAGACUCGUACGUUUACGUGCACUUGCCGAGCGGGCCCCCGCAGAGGCAGCUGUUCCCGGCGAAGGACUCGGCGUCGAGCCGGUCGAACGGCGGGCCCCUCGGGAUCUCCCCACAAAGCCGGUUACGGCUAAGAUCAAGGUGCCCCACGUACGCCGCCGAGGAGAGCGACCGCGGCACGCCGCCCGUCAGCCGGUUCCGGGACAGGUCAAGCAAGAUGAAGUACGAGUCCUUCGUGAACACGUCCGGGAUGGGGCCUUCCACGGCGUUCCGGCUCAGGUUGACGAUCCCGAGCCCUUUCGUCCUCAGCAAUCCCGCCGGGAUCCGGCCCGAGAUGCCGCCGUUCCCGCCCAGGUACAGCGACGUCAGCACGCCGUUCUUCUUCCCGGAGGUUCCGAGGGUGUCCGGGAUCGGGCCGCUGAGCCGGUUCUCGGCGAGGUCGAGGUCGGCGAGCCGGGUUAGUAACCCGACGGAGGACGGGAUCGUCCCCGAGAGCCGGUUCCGGCUGAGCAGAGCACGGCUCAGCAUCUUCAGGCUCCCGAAUUCCGCCGGGAUUGACCCCGUGAGCUCGUUGUUCGCGAGGUCGAGGUGCUUUAACGAGCCCAGGUUAGUAAUCUCGCUCGGGAUGUUGCCGGAUAAGAGGUUAUCCGCGAGGUUGAGCACCGCGAGGCGGGAGAGGGUUCCGAGAGCCGGGGGGAUUUCCCCCGAGAGGCGGUUGCCCGGGAGCUCGAGGACUCGGAGCUCCGGGAGCGAUUGGGCCCCCAGGCAGGCCGGGAUUGGGCCGGAGAUCUGCUUCCAGUCGGCGAUGACGAGUGUCGAGAGGCCCGUGAGGAUGCAGACGCGGUCGGAGAUGUAGCCUGACAUGAGGCCGGACGCUGGGAUGCCCGAGAGCGCCAUGACGGCGUCGAGGGGCGCUUCGCCGCGGAGGAUCAGGGAGGUGACCCGGCCCGUGGCUGGGUCGCAGCUCACGCCGUAGUAUGUGGAGCAGCAGUUUGUGGUGUGGUUCCACGUGGAGAAGACGCCCAGGUUGUUGGAGUCUGAGAGUGCCGCCCGGAUCGAGAGCAGCGCGUCCCGGUCGGACUCCGAGCAUGCCGCGGCGGCUGCGGAGACGACGAGCGUCAAGAGAGUGGCGAGUGGGAGGAGGAGCGGCGUUGCCAUUGCUUUGGGAGCUCGACCGAGAGUGGAGAGCGGACAGUGGUGAGUGGUGCACGUGAGCUUGCAGAGCUCAGUGUUUAGUAGAGGCUGGCUGGCUGGCUGGGAUGAUGACCGGUUUGCCCUUUGGUAAUAAGCGCGUCCGUCAUCAUGCGUUCUUGUGUUACAAGUUACUCCAGCUUCGAGACCAUACUUGGUUGCAAACUAAAGUCGGGUUCAGAGGAACUGCUCGAUCUAGACUUUCAGAAUCUUCAAGGGUACAAGCGGUACACGAGAUACGUGUGGGUGGGGACGGGGACACGAUCGAGUCCCAGCGGGGCACGUGCAGUGCCGGGUGAGGCGCACCCAGAGCGCCUUAAAUCUCCUCUCGCCACACACCGUGGGGAGUGUCACUGUGUCAGCGCGUGCCAUACUGUUUUUUUUUUAAGGAUGCACCAGCAGGUACAUUGUCGAUUAAAAAAGAAAAACCAGAAAGUUAGUAUAAUAUCAUAGGCAAAACAACGUCACAAAAGAAUGGCCAAAAAUAAGAAAAAAACUACUCGCUGUCUUAUCCAACCAAUCGUCGCACUAGUCGCAAACAGAAACCCCUGCCCCUAAGGAGUCUCGCGUGCUCCCAAGGCACAAAAGCCAUACUGUGUUCUUCGCGGCCCAGAGAUCUGGAUGGAUGCAUGAGUACUGGACCGAACCCUAUUCAAUGCCACGCCACGACGCGGCCCGGGGCCGUUGGAUCUCGAUGCGCACGGCAGAUUGACAGACGGACCCGUAUGUUUGCUCGCCGAUCGAUCACGGGGACCAGCUACAGAAGAGAAGCCAGCGUCUCUUUCGCCAAUCUCGACAGGUACCUGAAUGUAUUCAGCAAUUAACGAAUAGCACGAGCGAUCGAGUGCAUGGCACCACCGAGAUAUGACCAUUGGCUAGCACACAGAAGGUUGAGCUAGAUACAGUACGACGGUCGGCCCCGUGCACAUGCGUGGAUGAAAAUGCAUGGAUGGAUGGGCUCGAUCGAUCGCUUCACGUUCUCGUAUACGGUCAAGAUGGACAACGUUGAUCCAUGCAUUUCUUUGAAAGUCCAGUGUAAAAACUUGAACAACAAGGGACAUCGCUGCUGCGUGCUUUGGACACAUGGUGGGUCACUCUGUCAUGUCAUGGCCACGAGCUAGAACGCAGAUGCAGUGUAAAGUGACAAGUCUACAGCAAUAUCUGUAUUACGUGUACAGUUCAAAACGCACAUUAUUGCAACAAACAUGACGCACGUUAUUGCAACAAACAUGGAUAUUGACAUCGUACAUGCUAACAAUCUAACAUGCGUGGAUCGUGUACAGGAGUUAUAUAUGCAGGAGUAGCCAGCAUAUAUACACACACUGCUAAUAUGGAUAAUUCAACCUCCGCUAAUCUAGCACAAAAGAAGGGUAAGACGAAGGAUCGAAGAAAUCACUCGAUUCCGAAAGAAGUAAUCCAUGCACGCGCGUUCAUGUUCUGAACGGUAUAUCUAUCCGUAUCUCACGAGUACGUGGCGUGGCCUUGUUAUUCGCGAAUCGCGAUCCACGUGGAGCAUGAUAUGCAUGCAAGCAUGGCUUAAUUCGUGCACCGUAGCUUUAAUUAGCCCGGUUCUCGGUCUGUAGUACAUGAACACACUUUUAGUCUUUUACUGUCAAUAAUAUAUCUGACAAAGAUAUAACAAGGCCACACACUUUGCUAAAGCUGACGCAAUCACGCAAAGAGGUUAUGCUAGCUUGGAAAUGCACUAUUUUCUUUAAUGAUGUAACCACAUGAAAGUGUACCCUAUAUAUGUGAUCUUUUCUUGGGGGUUUUGCGGUGCUUUUUUCUGUUCGCUACCCAACCAAUGACUGAUGCGUGCAUGUUAGAUUCGAGAUCAAUCGUAUGCUGCAAUUAGCCUGACAGGUGACCAUGCUCACAGAUGUCUAGAAGAAGGAUGCAUGCUUCGACCGGUCGCUUUGGUACCUAGCUGUGGGAUUUGAGAUUCCACUGUUACAAAACACAACAUAACUGACGGGUCAUCAGUGACGGGCCUUCCCCGCCUGUCACUGAUGAAUCUCAUCAGCAACGGGCGUAUAAAACCCGUCACUGAUGAACCCUCGUCAUAUCUGAAAAAUCGCAAAAUUCACCAAAACACAGAUUAGUGGGGCUUUACAUCUACGCCCGCCACUGAUGACCCCUGGAGACCUUUAAAGAUUGAAAAAAUCAUAACUGAUUCAUAAAAAAAUCAGAAAAAUGUGAUUCUUUUUGCUAAAGUCUUUUUUUUUUGCUUAACAUAGUGGAACAAUAAGAUCAUAUGGUAACAUUUGAAAAAAUGAUCUACAUAGUACAAUCUUGUUAUUUCUCAUAGUUGAACUUUGGGUUUUAAACAAAUGUCAAAAAAGUUAAUUCUUUGACAUGGAGUCCUCUUAUGUGUACUAGUUGCUAGGAAAAUUCAGAAACUUGAAUUUUGACAAAUGUUUAAAAAAACUUCACAAAAUGAACUAUCAUGUCUGAUGUUUAUGUGUUUCAAGUCAAAUGACCAAAGUCACAGCCAUGUAUAUAACAUAGUUCAUGAUGAUGUAUUCAUUUUUCGUAUAUAGGUGCAUCUUCUCAUGUCAAACAAUAUUGCCAAAGACAUUUGUAAAUGUUAGGUUCAAAAAAUAUGAGUUACCCUUUUUUAUAUGUUAUUAUUCAUAUUUGAGACCAUCAAUAACGGACUUUUACCUUUAGACCCGCCACUGAUGCUCUCUGGAUAUUUCCUGCUAAUAAGCACAGAUCCGUGUGCUCUCACCCUAUUGGCCUAGCGACGAAGGCAUCGGAUCCACUGGCCCACCUCUCUUUCUCUUCCCAUCCAAGCUCCUCCUGAAACCUUUUUACUCCUCAUCUCCCUCGUUCUCCUCCCGAUCUGGCGUCUCCAUUCUCUCUCGCUUCUCUCCUGCGUGGGCGCCCAAGCCUCCGUCCCAAUCCCCCUUCUCCCUCCCUUCUCUCUUCUCCUUCUGCCGCGGGCGCCCAAGCCUCUCCCUUCUCCUCCUGCCGCGGGUGUCCAAGCUACAUGCCCCUUCCCUCUCCUCUUGCAGCAGGUGCCCAAGCUACUCGAGAACCUGCAGCAGCGGCGAAGCUUGGCGGUGCCGACGGAUCCACCGCCCCUGACCUUGCUCGCGGCCGACCCGGACUUCCUCGACCCCGCCGCCCCCGGAUCCGGCGCCCUCGACCGCGCAGCCGCCAGAUCCACUUCCCUCGAAUCCCGUCGCCGCCGGUACUCUCUCCCUCUCUCUCCCUCUCUCUCUCUCUCUCUCGCUAGUGCAGAAGUGAUUUUCUAUUGUGUGCAUCGAUCUGGGACUGAUUUGGGUACUUUGUGGACGUACGCCCCUUCUAUCUCUCUCUCUGAUUUUUGUACGUGUUGAUGUGCAACACAAUAAUCUGAUUUCUUUGGUGUAGAAGCAACGGGCAAGAGAAAGGGAUUGCAAGAAAUUGUGACUUGUUCUUGGUGUAGAAGCAACAGACAAGAAAAAGGGAUUGGCGGAAAUUGCGACUAGUCCACGUAGCCCGUCUGUGACUGCCGCCGGCCGAGGCCGGUCUUCUCCGGCAGCCGCCGCCGCCGCUGACGUAGGGCACGACGAGCAGGCGUCCACAGGGUGGGAUCUGGGGCAGGCCUGGGGCCUGGCCGUGUUUUUUUUUAUUUUCUCCGAACUGCAUCAGUGGCGGGCGGGUGUGUGUGACCGACAGUGAUGUCUAGGUACAUCAGUAACAGUCGGGGCGACCGUUUCAUCAGUAACACGAAGUUAGUAACGGCGGCCCCGACCGUUACUGAUGUUUUUUUUCGACUGUUACUGAUAACCCUUUCUGUAGCAGUGUUCGAUAUGAAAUUCAUUCAUGGAUUUGGGGAAAGUGCCACACUGCCACUCUGUAGUUCGAAUGGGCAAGAGGUUUUUGACAAAUAGAACAUCAUGCAUGAAUACGUGGGGUCUGGACUCUGGACCACGAAAGAACACGAUGGUCAAAUCUGGAUCCGGGACCCAGGAAUUCUCGACCCUGUACAUGUUGGCUGCCGACGUAUUUUCGUGACAGCAGUUGCAUUUGUUUGAACUAGCGGGGUGACUCGCGCAGUUUGCGCGGCUAGAAUUGUAUAAUGAAAAAUGAUAUCUAUAUUGAUUUAUUUAUGCAAUUCAGAUGUAUUUUUGUUUGGGUACGAUAUUUUUUUGAAAUAUUUGAUUUCUUUUACCUACCAAAAUAUAUGAAUAUAUGGUUUUGAAUGCUUAGAGUGGUUUUAAGUUUCCACAGGCGAUCGACGAAUCGAUCUGUUGCUCUACGCGAAUAUCAGGCGCAUGACGUAGCUGAUUCGUCGGGCUAGAAAAGGACAUCAGAUUCAGCUACUUCUGGAUAAGCUGCUCAUUGCGGUAAUCAACAUAUUAUUACAGGAACAUCUCAAAUUGCUUUGCAUGUACCUACAUGUGACGGAUUUAAACAACGUGCGUAAAGAAAUUGGACUGUCUAUAUUAUGUUGCGCCAAAUUUAGACCCAAACAAAUUUAGACUAUCCGAUAACUUUAGCGAAAUCUAGAUCACAGAAUUUCUGCUACUUUAGUUAUAUAUUAGAUAAUUAGAUUAUUUUAAGUUGAGUUAAUUUUAUAAAACCACAUAUUUUGUGGCUAUGGUAUUAGAGAACCACACUUAUACUAAUUUUUUAAUGAAACCACAACUCUAUUAGGUAGUGGUUCUUCUCAAAUAAACCAAGUCUGCCAGUUUAGUGCGUUUGACAACGUUUUUGACAUGUGUGGUUAUCUAGUGCAAUUUGUAUCUAUUAGGCGUAGCCACGACGCUCCACAUGAAUUCUCCCUUAUUCCGCCAUGUUGCUUCCGUUUCGGCAGCCGGUAGCGAGAGUGUGUCCGACUUCAGUCCCUGGUUGCUAUCAUGGUUGUGGAAUUAGGUGUGUCUACAGUAGAUCGGCUUCCGGCUGAUGCUACCGGUCGAACAGUGUUGUCGCGGGCAUGAAUUUGGCGAGGUGUAUCUGCGGAUGGAUGGAAGCCCAAGGUGCUUGGUACCCAUGUCUUUUCAUCGUAUAUAGAAAGCAUCAUGUAAUCCAUGUUGUUUUAUUUUCUUUUUCUUUUUUUGAAAAAGAUCCCUCUUCGGCUAUUGAUUUCCUAUUUGCCCUAUCUCUUCCGAUCAGUAUCCCCAUAAGUACGAUAAAACCUGUUUUACUAUUUGCCCUAUCUCUUCCGAAGAAGGGUGUUCGAGGUAGCUUCUGGAAACCCAUCAAAUCACUCAUUAACACUGCCUGGAAAGUGGCGACCAGGGGAAAACUAGCUGGUUAAGGCUAUAAAGACGAGCCUCACCACAACCACAGGUUCCCUUGCCAGCAACAGCCGCUUGGCAGUGUGUUCUGUGGCUACUAUUGCUGUCACAUCCUUAUGGAGAAUGCUAGCAUGUUCAAGCCUGAGUGGAAGGGGUCAGUCGCGGCGAUGGAAGAAUACUGGCGGCCCCGAAUGAUAAUGGGACACCGACCUAAAUGGGUCGUGUAUAACAUUCAAAGAGAGUUCGCCCAUCUCAUCAACAAUGAGGUCAUCAAGCCUAGUGGGGACUUCUACGAACGCGUGGAACAAGUGGUGUCUAGGGUUCACCCACAACAUUAGGACCUAACUUGAAAUGAGAUACAUUUGUAUUCUUUAUAUGCUUCUAUGAAAUUUUGACACUUUGUAAUCAAUGUCGUGAAGUGAGAUAUUUUUGUAUUCUUUAUAUGCUUUAAAUGAUGCGCCUUUAUAUACAUUUGUAUGGUUUAAAUUAUGUGAUGUGAUGUGAUGUGCUGUGAUGUGAUGUGAUGCGGCUUUAUACGUAUUUUUAUGUGCUGUGUUGUAUAUACAAUCUGUGAUGUGUUGUAUAUACAAUCUGUGAUGUGUUGUAUAUACACUUAUGUGUAUUUCCUGUGGUUUUAAUUAAUUUUUUUUAAAUACCGAAAAUGUAUCAGUGUCGGUUGUACAUAUACAUCAGUAACGGUCGCAGAGACCGAUACCCAUCAUCAGUAACACGAAGUUAGUAACGGCGGCCCCGACCGUUACUGAUGUUAUUUUUCGACCGUUACUGAUAAACCUUUCGGAGCGUUGAACGAAGGCAAAGGCCGACAGAGGGUUUUGGAAUUUUCCUUCAUGAAUCGCCUUCCGUCUCGCCCACCAGAUCGCCCACAGCGUUGUAAGAAUAACCGCCAUCUCAGACUUCGGAUUGACUCCAAGAGCAUGAACAACCAAAGCUUUGCAUCAGGCAAAGAGUUCAUAAUGGCAUGUUCAGUAAGUUCGUCGUCCAUCAGCGCCCACACGCACUUGGCCAUGGUAUAGUUUAUUAAAGCAUGACGCCACGAAUCUUCAGCAGCAUGACAAAUAGGGCAGAGCGAAGAUUGCACCAUGUUUCUAUGGUGCCGCACAGCCUCAGUUGGAAUCGAGUUCUUUGAGAGUCUCCAAGCGAAAACCUUCAGUUUUGCUGGAACCGGUUGUUUCCAAAGUAGACUCCAUUGCCGCUGAUCCCGAGCAGUAUCCGAUCCUGCAGGACGAUGCUCAAUCCAAUCUUCCCUUCUUCUCUUAGUAUGAACAAGCAUUCGAUACGCCGAGCGAACGGAAAACACCCCCUUCUUCUCGAAGUGCCAGGCCCAAAAGUCAGAACUGGCCAUAGAAGGUAGAGGAAUGUUGAUUCAGCUUCACCAUAUCCCAACAUCUAUUCGCAUCAAUGAGCUCCGAAACAAGAGCAGGCGGGUUAGCAGAUUUCUGUGCCACGGGCCGUAGAAGACUAUCACGCGGCAGCCAGUUAUCUGUCCAAAUACAGGUCUCCUGCGCUGAGCCGAUCCGCUUAAUAAGUCCCAGGUUGAGAACCCUCUUCCCCUCAUACACAGCACGCCAAACAUGAGGGGGAUUGGCAGAUAGAGGGGAAAUAUUCAGGUCUAUACCUCAAUGCAGUUUUAGAGCAGAACUACCCUGUGCUGAGUGCAAGCGAAGCUACGGGAAGCCCAACUUGCCGCUUCUGCCACUGAGUUUUUUUUUUCAUCGGCCUCUCCGCCAAGUGCAUUUCUGAAGGCCCAUUACACAUGGCCCACGAAUAUAAGGCCCAAACUCUACUCGCGUGUCGCGUGUCGCUUGCAUGGUCGAUAGGUUUGGUUGGCUCUCGAAUACUCCGGAGUCCGGGACCGCUUCCUUCCGCUAAUGGCAUCCCUUCCCUCCUGCGGCCAUUGUUGCGGCUCGAGGCAGUAAACCCCCGUCUGCUUCGUUGCCCCGCCGAAGUCCCUUCUCCUUUCACCCCGCUCUCACUUCUCCCCACCACCCAGGCAAGAGAGGAAAGGCAAAUCUUAUAGGCCCCUCCGUCCCCGCGCGGUUCCCCCUUCGCUCGCCUCAUUGGGAAUUUAUCGCUUCCCGUAAUUCGCUCUGAUUCAGCGGUACUAUGCAAUUUCAUUUUUAUAUCAUCUGCUUGUUGUUAUUGCUCUGUAGUGUUUCACGGAAUGAUGGAUGUUCUGUAAAGAGGGUGGAGAUUCUAGCCGUGUUCUCCCAAAUUUGUUUGCUGCAUUUGUGAGCAGAGCGGUGGCUGGUCUGGACCAAGUUGGCGCAACUCGUAUCGUGCAAUUUUCCAUUUAGGAUCCGGUUCUGAAUCAUUUCGUGCAUCUCUUCGCGGUGGAUAAGCUCAGAAUGGGAUAGCAUCUGAAUGUUGCCCGAUAAUCCUUUGCUUUCCAUGUCUUUGUUGUUUGAGGGAUGCUAAUUUAGUUUCCAUGUUUUUCGUCAAGAUGGCAUGGAUUAACUUGUCUGGAGCUACCGUAGAAUAUGGGUGUUGAGUUGUUCAGCAGGCAACCUCUCUAGAAGUCUAUAUUUAGUUCUUUACUACCGUGCCUUGUCUAGUGUACAACUUUGUUAUUCUUAAUUUCCUCUGCAUAUGUUCAGCUACCUUAAAUACUUGUCUCGGAUAGUGUUUCGGCUGAACAUCGUUAGGGUCUCUUUGUGUUAAGAUUCUAAAAAUGCAGAAAGAGGAAACCGACUAGGAUUAAGAUGCCAUGCGUUGUUCAAAUCUACAGUAAGUCAAAACAAAAGAAUUUGCAAAAGUAGUUGUUUGGAUGCUCCACAGGAAAUCGCCAAGAGUGCUGUCCAUGCUAAAACUUCUUAGUUCCCAAUUUCAAUUGUUGCCUAUUAGAGUAUUCAUAACUAGAUGCCAACUGGACUAGGAUCGACCAACUUCAGUCUUCAUGGUAAUCUUAUUUUAAGGCUGUAUUAUGUUCCACCAAUUCCUAUAUGGCAGUUAUCCAUAUAUGUGCAGGUGAAACUACUUGAACUGGAUGCGGCUCUAUUCACCUGCAAACUGUUUGAGGCGAUCUGCGUCCAGUAGCAUGCAUUGCUCUUCCAAUCAGUUUCAUGGAGGAGUCACCCAGAGCAUGGCCUUACGGAAGUGCUCCUGGUCAAAGUCAAGCAGUUCUCAUUCGAACUCGGGAUUAGUCAAUUUUUCUCUCAAUAGGAAUAUAAGGUCUUCUGAACCACUCAAUCUGAAGUACUUUGUCAGCUUAGUGGGCCGACAAUUCCGUUGCGGACUAUCAACCAGAGAAGGUGCUCUACGUAUAAAGCUUGACAUGCUUUCACGUGAAAGAAUUUCGGGUAUUAGUUGGAAUUGGAAAGGCAUGCAUCAAAAAAUAGGAGGUACAGCCGGUGGACUUUGCUUAGGUUUUUCGGUUUCAGGGAUAGCAAAAGCUGAGAUGCCUGCGGACAGAAAGAUCAACUGUGCAGAAACAUCAGCGUCAUCUACUCACGGGAAGAAAAUAUACACAGAUUACUCUGUCACUGGUGAGACAUGAAUUGUGCUUGGUUUAGUAAUUUGAUUGUUAAAGAUACUAGCCUUAUCAUAUUUAUAUUGCUGAUGCGUCAGAUCAAGCUAACUACUUGUGACUGUUUUACCUGGAUUUGCUAGGUAUUCCUGGAGAUGGAAGAUGUUUAUUCCGCUCUGUGGUUCAUGGGGCAUGUGUCAGGUCCGGGAAAGCCAUACCUAACGAAGAUCUUCAGAGAAAGCUAGCUGAUGAAUUGAGGUCAAUGGUAUGUCUGUAAUUUUCCUAGGCACGUUGGCUAUUCCUGUUAUUGCCUUUCAUUCUCUACAACAGCUUUAUAAAUGCACCAUUGUACAGGUCGCUGAUGAAUUUGUCACCAGACGGGAAGAGACUGAGUGGUCAGUUGAUACACUGUUGCUGCUAUGUUUGUUCUUUCGAUUCUAAAAUGAAAUUUAGUCAUGAAUGGUUAUUAUUGACAUGUUUUGAACUGUUGCAUUUUCCUGUAACUCCAAUUGGCAGGUUCAUUGAGGGUGAUUUUGAUACCUAUGUUUCCCAGAUUAGGCAACCGCAUGUUUGGGGAGGUGAGCCAGAAUUGUUCAUGGCUUCACAUGUUCUUCAGUAAGUAAUUGGAUCUGUUAUUCAUUUUACUUCCAUGGUAUCCAAUAUAGCUACCAGCGAUAGAAUGUUAAGUUUGGACCAUGAAAAGAUGGUGACGUCGUUGUUUAAAUCAGUGUUGUAUAGAUGGGCGAGUCAUAAGUUUAAAAGGGAUAGGCGUUUUGGGAGUCACUGCAUGUAGUUUCUUUUGGGUUUGGUCUUUCAUUGUGUUCUAGUCAAUAGCUAAUAUCUAUAUUAGUUAGGUAUCCCCAUAAGUUAAACAGCUUUACAACAAAAGUACACGUAAAACAAAGAAUGGACUCUUUGUUUGUUUGUGUCACUUUUUCCUACUAUGCUAAUGUCAAAUCACUCGCAAACCUCCUAUGUUAUUAGAGUUUUUGUUCAAAAGGUAGUUUUUGCAUUCAGUCAUGUUGAAUAAAUUUCUGAUGGUUGUUAAAAUUAGAUAGCUAAGAAAUUCUCAUGUUAAUUAAAAGAUAUGGACUACUUUAUUUUAUGUAUGUUCAGUUAUCAUGUAUAUAAACAGCUCUGCACAUGAAGAAGUAAGAACACCAUUACUUUAUUCACACAGGAUGCCAAUAACUGUGUACAUGCGUGAUGAAGAUUCAGGUGGUUUAAUAACAAUUGCUGAAUAUGGCCAAGAGUAUGGUAAAGAAGAUCCAAUAAAAGUUUUGUAUCAUGGUUUUGGCCAUUAUGAUUCUCUACAGAUUCCAGCAAAUAUGGGCCCAAAGACAAAAUUGUAGAAUUCAAGAUACAAAUGGUAAGUUCAAUAUCUCAAUUUUCCCCUUCCAUUUCAUACGGAUAUAUUGUUGGGUUACCGAUGAUAUGCAUUUUAAAAAGAAUUGCUUAUAUAGCUUCAAUGGGCACCCCAAACUUAGGAGUUCUAACUUAUGUGGAUAUGCAAGAUGGCUUUCUUGAAAAAUAGUUUGCAGCAAAAUACUGUUAUCAUGUGGAGUACCCCAUUUACAUUACUCAAAGUUGCCCAUAAUAUUUUACAUUAUGGUGACAGGCUUGAAGGCUUGAAAGCCACAAAUCAAGAAUAGUUUCUAUAUUUAAGAUUUUAAUCUGUUUUUCCUUAAAUAGUCUGGAGCAUAUGGCAUGUCUGUUUAUGGCUUAAAUUUGUUACCGCUUUAGGGAUUUUUGUAGAUACUGCUUCCCUGAAAAUAUUUUGCUUCUUGCCAAACCUUUGCUGGCAGGCACUGGUGGCAUUUAACCAUGCUCAUUGUUCCAAUGGCUUUGUCUGUGGGCACCAGGCUCAUAGAAGAUGAUCAGAGAUACAGGACACUCGAUUCUCUGUAUGAAUCUGUCGAAAGAACCGAAGUGUUGCAAUCCACUAUAGCGUCCCCACUUCUUCUGAAAUGGACAAUAAGGUUAACAUCAUCCGAGAACAUGACUGGAUCCUGAUGCUGGUUGUUCAUGCGCUCACUGCAGAUUCUAGGUGCACCUGUUUGGCUGUAACUUCAUGUAAUCUGCUGAAUCCUGGCUGUGCUCAUGCGAUGGCAAUAAAAGGGCCCACUAUGGCUUUGUUAGGUUUGUUGGGCCUCUACGGAGGACCCACCUAUCAGUCCAGCCAGCCCAACAAGAACGAAAAGCGUUUUCCUUCAGUUUGCUAGAUCUCAACUAGGACCGCUACACCCACUCAAAAAAGAGAAAUCUGAAGAGCCUGCAUUUUACGGCGCGACUUGAAUGUUGACAAAACUUGCAAAACAAGCUGCUGCCAGGAAAAAAAAACUUCCAAAGAGAAAACUAGGUCACAGUAAAGCAUAAAAGCAGCCUUUCCUGGUUGUCGCCGAGUGGGAGUGGCUGGCUAGCUUGGGCCCUCUUUGUUGUUGCACCGUGGACCUGCGUGCCUACGUAAGCAAUUUUUACAUGUCAAUAUGCUAAGAGUAACCGAUUAAGUCAGCCAGCAAGAGCUAGUCACCCACUCAGACACACUGAAGAUGCAACUGUGUAUGAAUGUUCUUGCAUCUUGUAAUGUCAAGCAAACCACUGUAUUCAAACGACAACAACAGCAACAAUAUUUUACACAACGUUGCACGAGCACGAUGAACUACAGUACUACUACACAGUACUUCCUUUUUUUUUUGCCUUUUUUUACUAGCAGCUGCCUGUUUUUACUAGCUGCCCCGGUGUCACUUGCCCCACCUUCUCUUCUGGCGCUAGCCCUGUCGCAUUGACGCUGUAUACCACGCCGGGAUUCCCGAUGCCGGGUUCACAGGUGCGCCAAGCCGCUGCAUCCCUAGCCUGACUGACAACGGGGACUAUUUCUCGUUUCUGAUUUUUCGAAACAAGACAAGAAACCGUUGCUCAAUCCCAAUUACUACUCACCUGAAUGAAUCCGCAGUUUGCAGAGAAAUGAAAGCAAUCAAAGCUCCGGAAAUCUCAUCACAGAUUCAAAAUGAGCAGUAAACGUGGCAAUUACUACAGUAUUCUCUUAAACGUUGCAAGGAGGAGGACCUAGCAGGACGACAUAAUCCAAUUCAAAAACAGGCCACGCACUCCCACCCCAUCAUGAUGAGCCGGCGCCUCAAAUUCAAAAAAAUGGAUCAGCACUGACACUGCGGGGCCCACCGCACAGCGUCACGAGUGUAGUAAAUCACCCGAUCCCUCCAGCAGCGCAACAGACAGACAGUACAGGCGCGAGUACUCCAUCAUCAAACACUAAUCCUGGGGAUUCUGAAACUGUAAUAAUCCUUGAGAUUUGACCCACAUGCAAACACGGCUCGAUUGCUAAUCACUUUAGCAAAAGCCGCCCCGAGCAAAGGAGGUUCGAAAUAAUCCAGCACACCCCUUCCAGCGCGGCUCCCCGUGAGCCUCUGCGUUCGAAUCUCUCUGCCGGAAAUACCCCCCUCUUGCCCCAGAAUUACGUGCCAGACCAAGGAAGCGUUGACUAGUACUCCGGAGGGCUAUUUCCGUCAUUUCGUGUACUAAAUCUCACUGGCCCCUAAACCCAGUCCUCUAGCACUCCGCUGUCUUCUUCCCCUCGUCUCCCUUCCAUGCGGCAGAGCUAGACUGCAAGACUGUGCGACCUCACGUAUACUCCCAAGAAAUGGCAGGGCUGUAGUUUAGUGGAGUAGUUCGCGGAGACAGAGAGAGUGAGCGGGACUCCGAGAGAAGAGUGCUUCCUCCGUAGCUCGCAAUGGCGGCUGCGAUGCGUGUGCUCGCAGCAAUGGCGGUGUUGGUGGCGGCAUUAGCGUCCGCGGCGAAGGCGCUGAACACGGACGGGCUGGCGCUGCUGGCGCUCAAGUUCGCGGUGUCCGACGACCCCGGCAGCGCGCUGGCCACGUGGCGGGACGGCGACGCGGACCCCUGCAGCUGGUUGGGGGUCACCUGCGCCGACGGCGGCGGGGGCCGGGUCGCCGCCGUGGAGCUCGCGAACCUCUCGCUGGCCGGCUACCUCCCCUCGGAGCUCUCCCUGCUGUCCGAGCUCCAGACGCUCUCGCUCCCCUCCAACCGCCUCUCCGGCCAGAUCCCAGCCGCCGCCAUCGCCGCGCUGCAGAACCUCGUCACCCUCAACCUCGCGCACAACUUCCUCACCGGCCAGAUCCCGCCCGGGAUUUCCCGCCUCGCGUCGUUGUCCCGCCUCGAUUUGUCCUCCAACCAGCUCAACGGGACUCUCCCGCCGGGGAUCGCGGGGCUGCCGCGGCUCUCCGGGGUUCUGAAUCUGAGCUAUAAUCACUUCACCGGCGGGAUCCCGCCGGAGUUCGGGGGGAUUCCUGUCGCCGUGAGCCUCGACCUCCGCGGGAACGACCUCGCCGGCGAGAUCCCGCAGGUGGGGUCCCUCGUCAACCAGGGCCCCACCGCCUUCGACGACAACCCGAGCCUCUGCGGAUUUCCGCUCAAGGUCGAGUGCGCCGGCGCGAGGGACGAGCCGAGGAUCCCGCAGGCGAACACGAAUGGGAUGAACCCUGGCGCGGCGGCGGCGGAGGUGGGGAGGAGGCCAGGGAAGAAGCGGUCGUCGUCGCCGACGCUCGCGAUCCUCGCUGUGGUCGUGGUGGCGGCCAUUGUCGCCGGGCUCGUGCUGCAGUGGCAGUGCCGGAGGCGGUGCGCCGCCGCGGGCAGGGACGAGGAGAAGGAGUCGUCGGCGUCGUCGGCGAAGGAGAAGAAGGUAAGCGGGGCGGCGGGGAUGACGCUCGCAGGCAGCGAAGAGCGUCAUCACAACGGCGGCAGCGGGGGCGGGGAAGAAGGGGAGCUGUUCGUGGCCGUGGACGAAGGGUUCGGGAUGGAGCUGGAGGAGCUGCUCCGGGCGUCGGCGUACGUCGUGGGGAAGAGCCGAGGGGGCAUCGUGUACAGGGUCGUCCCCGGCCGCGGCCCCGCCGUGGCCGUCCGCCGCCUGAGCGAGCCCGACGACGGUGAGGGCGAGUCCGGCUGGCGCCGCCGUCGCGCGUUCGAGUCGGAGGCCGCCGCCAUCGGCCGCGCGAGACACCCCAACGUCGCCCGCCUCCGCGCAUACUACUACGCCCCCGACGAGAAGCUCCUCAUCUACGACUACCUCGCCAAUGGCUCCCUCCACUCCGCCCUCCACGGUAAGUAAACCAGCUCGUAGCUCAUUGCUUGCUAGUACUUAUUUCGUUUGGCGUUUGAUCUGGAGAUAGCGCACUGUUGCUUUGUUUGUUUCAGGGGGGCCGACGGCGUCGCCGACGCCAUUGCCAUGGUCGAUGAGGCUGUCCAUCGUGCAGGGGGCGGCAAGGGGUCUGGCAUACUUACACGAGUGCAGCCCGCGGCGGUACGUGCACGGCUGCAUCAAGUCCUCCAAGAUCCUCCUUGACGACGAGCUCCGGGCGCACGUGUCCGGCUUCGGCCUGGCACGCCUCGUCGUGGCGGGGGCGCACAAGGCGCACUCGAAGAAGCUCGCCUGCGCGCUCCGCAACAACGGCAAUGGCGCUGUGCCGUACGUGGCGCCGGAGCUGCGGGUUGCAGGCAAUGGCGCUAAUGGCGCGGCGGCGGCUACGCAGAAGGGGGACGUGUUCGCGUUCGGGGUGGUGCUGCUGGAGGCGGUGACGGGGCGGCAGCCGGCGGAGGGGGAAGGCGGGGCGGAGCUGGAGGCGUGGGUGCGGCGGGCGUUCAAGGAGGAGCGGCCGCUGUCGGAGGUGGUCGACCCGACGCUGCUGGGCGAGGUGCACGCCAAGAAGCAGGUGCUCGCCGUCUUCCAUGUCGCGCUCGGAUGCACCGAACCCGACCCCGAGAUGCGGCCCCGCAUGCGCGCCGUCGCCGACAGCCUCGACCGGAUCAACAACUGCUAGCCCGGCCGUCCCGUCCAUUGAUUCGCCAACCGCAGCUGCUGCUCCACCGGAUCGAUCCAGGGAAGAAGAACGAGGAAAACAAAAGGCUAAGAAGACCGUUUUCAUCAGCAAAAUCUUUAGCUCCGCAGAUUAGAGAAGGUAGAAUUAAGCAAGAAGAAACUGAUGGUCGUUCGCUGAUCUGCACUGUUAGUAACAAGUUAAUCUGCUAGUAUUCAUCUAAUCAUGUUUUGACUAGCUGCAACCUCUGCAGCCGUGCAAGUGUAAUUGACGACCUCUUCUGGACAGCUCUCCAACUGCUUUUCUUUUUCCCUAGCAUUGUUCGAAGUUUGCACUUCUCGUUUUAGGGAAAACUGAGAAAGAAAACGCCUUAGGCUUUCUUGGAGUCCGGGAGCUCGGUGAACGGGAUGCGUCUCGUGUUUUUCGCUGUGUUACCUUUGGGUGAGUCAUUCAGUUGACUCUGAAAAGAUGCGACAAUGGCAGUAUGACACAAUGCUGUUGGUUGCCUCCAUCUGUGUCACAGUGUCAGUAUGCUGUAAUAUUGGUUUUUAACUUGUGUCCUGCCGUGUGGUGCUUGCACAGCAAGCAGCAGCACGCAAGGGCAGGAGCUGCAGAUGGAUGCAGAAGAUUGGGGCAAGAGGGGGAUGGGUUCAGUCUUCAGUGUCGUCUAUCUAGUUAAGGCCCCGUUUGGAUUGCAGUAUUUUCACAGGAAAAACGUAGGAGGUGUGGUUCCUAUGGCAUCUCUUUUUUUGCUUUCACGGGAAUUGCACAGGAAUAUAAACAUCCACUGGCAUCUCUUUUUUUCACUCGUAAGUGUAAGACCGAGGCUGCAGGUGCCUUGUGGGCUUGUGACAUACAGAACCAGCCCGUACUGAGAGGAGACAGGAAGAGAGGGAGGGGAAGAGAUGAAGAUGUGCCAAUUAAUAAAAUAUGAUUGUGAUUCUAUCAACUUGAUUAGGAAAUAUGUCAAUAAUCUUAAUAUAUUUUUUCAUGUGUUCCAAACUUUCAUGACAAGUUUUCUAUGCAAAUGCAAUCAUUAUCUAAUAUAGGGAAAAUGAAAUGAUUAAUUAUACCUUAGUUUAUGCUUAUGUAGAUAUAUCACCGUGUUUUCAGUUUUCUGUGUUCCAAAACGUUUUUGCAAAACUUUCCUGUAUUUUUGAUUUAUCUGUUUUGCACAUGCAUUCCUUUCAUAUACCUGUGUUUUUUUUCUAUUCCCGUGUUUUGAAUUCCUUUGUUCCAAACGGGGCCUAAUAGUACGGUUUCUAAACUUCGUGUUGAAGGGAGAAGGAAUCCUUCUCAACAACCUGGUAUUCUUGCUGAAGAAUGGAAUGGAGUGGUCAUUGCACCGCAGGGAUGGGUUGCUGGGCAUAUCAUUGGUGCCAUCAUGGGAAUCCAAUGUAAAACACACAAUCAUUGCUCAUUAGGAUCAGAUCUAAUUGGAAGUCAGAGCUUUGUUUAGAUCCUUGCAUUGUAAUCAUCUCAAACUGUGGCACAGGAACUAAAAACAAAAAUGAAGUGCUAGUUUCAGAUGCGUCCAUACCCGGAAAUCUGACAGAAGUAUGAAGGCCGGAUAUACGAAAAACGGGUUACUGUUGCACCCACAGCAUGAACAUUCAAACUUGAAAGAUAGACGCAGAUGAACUCACAUUUACAUACCCCCAGAGCAGCUGAUGGUCCAAUAAUUCACUCAAACGUGACUGCUAGUCAGCUACUCACAGUGGGGACUGUUCAACCCGUGAGCUGACACAGAGGUUUUAAAUAGCACUGAAUUUCUUCACCAACCUGCCUCGCCUCGCCAUACAUCAAACCCAAAAGAAUUAAAUCAUCUGCAUCAGAUUAACAAACGUAUUGAUGGCUCGGUACAAGUGAGCAGCUCAGUGUCUAAGUCAGAGAAGGUACAAUGACUCUUUGGUCAAUCCAGCACACAUUUUGAUUGAGGCUGUGAAGAAAACUUCGAUAGCCGGAUCAAAUGUUCAGAAAAUCACAAGCCACACCAAACAGCAGAAGGAACUCUUGAUGUGUUCAAGUUGGAAGCACCAUACCCUGAAAUGAUAUUCAGUCAAGUGUUCGUGUUCUCAUCCAUAAAUAUCCUCCGCCGGGAAUAGUCCACGAGCUUCCUCCGGGAGAUCAGGCUGGUACUGCAGCUGCUCGUAGUUCAGCUGCCUGGCCGCUUCGUAGAGGGCUACUCCGACGCUGACAGACAGAUUCAGGCAACGGACGUAGGUCUCCACCAUCGGAAUUCGGAUCGUUCCGCCACCUAUGGCUUCACCGGAACAGUCUUCCAGGACGUUAUCUGCUAGCCCUUUUGUUUCAGAGCCGAAUACUAGCCAGUCACCUGGCUUAUAUGAGAAAUCCUGAACCAAAGAUGGGCAUAAUAAGCACAGAAAAAUCAGCUAAGGGUAAAUUUGCUCCAAUACAUUAAGACCCACUACCACAAUGUAUUAUAUGAGUAUAUUGCAUUCGUUUAUAUAUGAAUGUGGUGAUGAGGAUAUGCAAGUCAAUUUGCUCCAAUACAUAUCAUGUUUGCACAUAACAGUUACACAGUGUUAUGUACCUUAGUCGAUGAUAACAACCUUUUGAUUCAAUCAUUGAGAUUCGUGUAAGAUUAAUGUAGGUCCGAUGGAUAAGAAAAUCUUGAUUGGAUGGCUACGAUUGUUGACUGAAAAAUAACUAUUUCUUAGGCGACUGAGAAAUAGACAAUCCCAUGAGUAUAUUGCAUUCGUUUAUAUAUGAAUGCGGCAAUGAGGAUAUGCAAGUCAAUUUGCUCCAAUACAUAUCAUGUUUGUACAUAACAGUUACACAGUGGAAGAUCUAGAAAGAAUUUGAAAGGGUGAACCGCACCUAAAAACAUGUAAUACUGAAGAGAAAUGCACAUUUUAAGCGUCAACAAUUUAACAUUAGAUGUC
This 47165-nucleotide long non-coding RNA is filed under the name Brachypodium distachyon (stiff brome). RNAcentral's name for it is "long non-coding RNA (BDIS_LNC003763)". Lineage: Eukaryota; Viridiplantae; Streptophyta; Magnoliopsida; Poales; Poaceae. The record is from RNAcentral.